GUGAUCUUUGUAAAGUGAGGUGAAGGAGGAGUUUGUGUAGUGACAACACAAUCACACUGUGUGCAGAAAUAAAAACCUGUUCAACCAAAUAUUCACAUUUAGUUGGGGUAUGAGAAGAGGAGUGCUCAUCUGAAGUUUGUUGGUUUGACCAGCAGGUGGAGCUGCUGCAUUAACAAUAAACUGAGACUCAACCAACCAAACAAGUUCCUGUUUUAGUGAACUUUUACUUUGGACUCAGGAGAGGAAGGUGGCUGUCAAGAAUACUGAACUUAAAAGAUGAUGAAAAACUGUCAGUAAAUGAGGAGAAGAAUCUGUGAUCUGGUGGUUUAGGUUUCAGUGAAAACAGUCAGAGUGAAAGUGAAAGUAUGUGAGCUGAAAAACAGACUCCAUUUUGAGAAAAGAAGAGAGAGGAGAGGACGAGGAGACAGGGUGAGUGUUUACUCUGUUUUAGUUUUAAUGUCAAACUCUUUAUCUGUUUUAUCUGUUAAUGAAAAAAUGAUUUACUGACUAAAACACUUAAAAACUGCAAAACAAAGAAACCAGAGCAGACAAAGAGCUGGAUCAGUUCUUCAUACAGGAAGCUGUGUACGUGCAGUUCUUCCUCCUCUUUGUUUAGACUUGUCUUUUUGGUAAAAAUAUUAAUCAGAAUCUUUUUAGCGUCUCAUUUCAAAUUUAAUCCAGUCUCCUUAAGUUUUUUUCUGAGAGUUCAGGGACCUCACAGCUGAUUUUGUUUUGACCAUGAAUCAGACAAGGAUCAGAGAGAGGCCCUGCAGGGUGGGGAGACAUCAGAAGUUCUUGGAUAUUAAACCUGUAUAACUCUUAAAGAGGGGGAUGAAGCUGUUUUCAGACUCUGUACUUCCUUUCUGAUUCCUCUUUUAUUUCUGAACUCUCUCUUCCUGUUUGUGUCUCACCUGUUUGUCUUCUUUGUCCUCAGGUUGUAUAACUCGGUUUCAGCCUCCAUAAAUUUGCACAACAGAAGAUGGAGAAGAUGAGUGUUUGUGUCGAGGAAGAGGAGGGCAGAGCAGAGUCUGAUAUGUUUGACUGUCUGUCUAUGAAGAGUGACCGGUCUAAAGAUCCUCCACCUGGUCUUCAGUAAAGAACCAGGACCCCCAGAGGAGGACAGAACAAAGUCUGUUAUCUCCAGCUGUCUGUCUAUGAAGAGUGACCGGUCUAAAGAUCCUCCACCGGUCUUCAGUGAAGAACCAGGACCCCCAGAGGAGGACAGAACAAAGUCUGUUAUCUCCAGCUGUCUGUCUAUGAAGAGUGACCGGUCUAAAGAUCCUCCACCAAAAUUCAGUGAAGAACCAGGACCCUCAGAUUCACAGUAAGAGAAACACUUUUCAAUCACCAAACUCUCAAACAACAUCUGAUGUUUCAAAUACAAAACUUUAAAUCCUGACCCCUCUGUUUUCUCCUCUGUUCUCAAAACACUGAUUUUCCUCUUGAACCUGCCAACCUGGAUAAAAUUCAAUUCAAUUCAACUUUAUUUAUAAAGCCCAUUUCAUGUACAAGGCAGACUCAAUGUGCUUCACAACAGGUGUACAUAGUUAAAAACAGUUAUACAAAAAUCAAUUAGAAAUCAAUGUAAGAGUGUAAGUGCAAGUCAACUUCACUGCAUGCACACUUAAACUCGUACAUGCGCACGCACUCACACAUGGACACGUGCACACGUACACACAUACACACACAGUUUAAAAGAAUGCUAUAGAAACCUGUUUUUAAAGAUGGCUACUGAUGUGUCUAACUGUGUCAGGCAGGGUGUUCCAUUUUUGUGGGGCAUAAACACUCAAAGCUGCCUCCCCUUAUUUGGAUCUGGUGUGAGGGAUGAGUAAGUUGCCACUGCCUGUUGACCGAAGUGUUCUUGCUGGGGUGUAGGUGAUGAGCAUAUCUGUGAUGUACUGAGGUGUAAGGCCAUGUAGUGCUUUGUAAACCAGGAGGAGUAUUUUGAAAUCGAUUCUUGUCCUAACGGGUAACCAAUGUACAGAUUUGAGAACGGGUGUGAUGUGUUGAUAUUUUUUGGUACCAGUGAGAAUACAUGCAGCUGCAUUUUGAAUUAACUGUAACCUCUGAAGACUUGAUUUUGGGAGUCCAGUGAAUAAACUGUUACAGUAAUCCAGUUUACUUCUUAUAAAUGCAUGGAUGAAUUUUUCUAAGUCUGAUUUUGACAGAAAGCCCCUCAGUUUGGAGAUAUUUUUGAGAUGAUAGAAAGAUGAUCUUGAAUUAAAUCUUGUAAUGGAUAAAAGGCUGGUAAAGAAAAAGUCACUGAGCACAGAUUUACUUAUUAUUCUUGAUGUUUAUAAAAAUGAAGGGCAUAUAAAACAGCAUUUGAAAAGGAUUCUGACCUCUCGUAUUUUCUGAUUUGGUUCCUGUGUUUGGGACGUUUUGAGCCUGUUAGUCUUUGGACUGUGGUGUAUAGACCCCAGAAAACAGUCUGUGGGUCACAAAAUACCAGAAGACUAAAGAAGAAAUAAAUCCUGAAAAAUAAAAACUCAUUCAGAGCAUCUUUCUGUUAUUAGACCUUUAGAUCUGAUUGGUCAAAAAAAAAGUUUUAAACUGUCAGAGAAAAUCUCUCUACCUUCAAAAAUCAAAGUUUAGUUUUUUUCUCUUGUCAUGACACUUUCAGGCAGCAGCAGCUGAAUAUUUUACAGGAGAUUGUUUUAUGUUAGAGAAAAGAGAAACUCUGGUUUAAUAAAUGUUUCUUAUUCUGUAUCUUUCAAACAUGAAAUAAUAAAGAAAAGAAAUGUUCUUUAUUUCCACAGAGAGACACAGAGAUGUGACUCUGUGGAGGAGCAGCUGUCCAAAUGUUCUUUAUGUCAGGAUGUCCUGAAGGAUCCAGUCUCUACCCGCUGUGGACACCAGUCUACUUCUUCAGGAUACACCUCCUGUCCCCAGUGUGGAAAAAGAACCAGAACAGUUCUUGUCUUUCAGACAGACAGCCAGUCCAGCUCUGAUCGAAGUAAGUCUGAACACCUUUAAACCCUAAAUUAUACAAUUUCUGCCUGAAUUAUUUUGCUUAUUUUAGCCAUAAAAUUGGCAGAAAAUGUCUUAUGAGUGAGUGCUUUUUUAUUCAUUGGCUUUCAACCCUGCAUGAGACUCGGCUCCUGUUUUAGUGUUUUAUGGUUUGUUUUUAGUUAUUUGUUUCUAUGUUUUUAAAUUAGUUUUUAAAAUUAUUUUAACUCUAUUUUACUUUUUUAAUAUCUGCUUUUAUUUUUUCCACUGUUUUAAUUGUUUUUUUAUGUCUAUGCUUUUUUGUCUAUUUAUGUACAGCACUUUGGUUGGCUGUGGUUGUUUUAAAGUGCUUUACAAAUAAAGUUGAGUUUUACCCAUUUUUCCAGAGCACUUAAAACUUUCAAUAUCUGGCUGUCAUUUACGAUUUACUGUCUGUUAAAAAACUUUAACAUUGUAAGAUAAAGAAAAACACAAAAACGGAAUACGAUUUUUUGAGUUUUAAUGAGAAAAAACAGAAAAUAUUCAUGAAAAACAGAUUUUUCAUUUGAAAUAAAAAAAAAUUAAAGAGUAUCAAACAUAUUUACAACAAAAACUUUGGAGUACUGUCUCUCCAAGUGCAAAAACAGGCUGAAUAAAUACAACUGUGUCCACGCGUUUCUCCUCGUUUCUCCUCUCUCACUCAGAGGUCUUUGUGAAACUGUCAGAAGCUGUUCCUUUCUGUCUGCAGACACAGACCCACAUCACACCCCUCACACUUCCAGGCAGUUCUCCUUAUGACAAAGUUUGCAGCGUCGUCUCCUCAUGCCGGUUCUUUGAGACUUCAGCUGUCCAUGGCUUGUUUGGGCACGUAGCUAUACUCUACUAUAAACGGUGAGCAUUUCUGCGAAGUGGAUGUAAUUCUCGGUUGGCAUGUGUUUCUCGGUACAACAUCAACGGUUGCAAAAUGAGAAACCGACAAGAGAAAACCGCCGAAGAUGAAGACUUGUUGGUAAAAAGAGAAGCCACGUCACUAACCAUUGAAGAUGAAUACUCGUUGAUAAAAAGAACGUCACUAACCAUAGAAGAUGAAGACUCGUUGAUUAAAAGAAAAGCCACGUCACUUAUCUGUAAUUAUUUCGGUUACAAAAAGGAUGACGUCACCUAACACCUGUUCUGUGUCGGCAGGGCCUUUCAUCUGUUUCCACAAUAACGUCCCAGCAGAACAAUAAAAACUAAAAAUAUCUCUAAGACAGACAGAAGCCAUUCUACUAACAUGCACUAAAAGAGGGAAGAUCAGUGCAGGUUAACUGUCCUCAAGAUUUCAGCAGAAAGUCAGAUUCAGAUCAUCUGAGGAAAAUUCCUCUAUUUUUUAAUAUCGAUUAUAUAUAUCACAGGGUUGAACAACUUUUUAAUGUUAGUGUUUUCUAAUAUCGUGCUGUCUUAAUGGGCACACGUUACUACAAACUCACUGCCUUAGCAUGGUAUUCUAAUAAAGUCACAACAGGUUAUAAGUGUUGAUUUACUCAUAAAAUAACGUAAAUAAACUAAAAACGACACAGAGAGCGCUUCAAUCAUCCAGAGACCAACACAGAAAAUCAACCAGUCAAACUUUACCUUUCUCUGUCUGAAGUUGCUCUGAAAGCUUCUCCAUCGGUACCAAAGUCGUCUGAAAACCUCAGUGUAGGUUUUCUCACUCAGGAAGGAUUUAUCACAGACAUUUUCCUUUGAAAUAAUCCCUUUUUUGUCACUUUUCUCUCUUUUUGCUCCGUUUCUCUGCUCUGUUGUGUGUCUAUCCGCUGCUUUCUUUGAGAGGGGGAGAGGGGACGGAGAGACAGGUUUUCUCACUUCCCUAAACAGCAGGAGGGUUAUUACCGUAAUAACCGUUUAUUGGCUGUGUGGCGCAACUUCUCACCUUUCAGAAACCGUUGGAGUUUUUUUGACAGCACAAACUUUCCCACAGUUACGGUAAUUUAAAGAGCGCCUGUGCAAAAGGUGUCGGCGCCGACGGACUGUGAGGAAAAGUCUGUGUGGAUGAAAACUCAGCUGACUGAUUUUCACAAAGACGUUUCAGUGUUGAGAAGUUUGGUUCAUUUUAUUUUUCUUCUCUUUCAGAAGAUGGCCUCCCGCAGGAGGUUUUAGAUGAACAUAAGAUCAGUCUGAAGAGGAGAUGUGAACGUGUGAAUGAAGGAAGUGAUGAAACAGGAAGUAGUCAAACCCUCCUCAACAGGAUCUUCACUGAGCUCUACAUCACAGAGGGACUGAGUGAAGAGGUGAACACCCAACAUGAGGUGAGACAGCUGGAGAAAACUUCAAAGAUGAAGACCCUCCAUGACAUGCCCAUCAAGUGUCAUGAGAUCUUUAAAACCUUACCUGACCAACAGAAGAAGCUCAUCAGAGUGGUUCUGACCAACGGCGUGGCUGGUGUUGGAAAAACCUUCUCAGUGCAGAAGUUCACUCUGGACUGGGCAGAGGGUUUGGAGAACAAAGACCUCCAUCUGGUGGUCCUGCUUUCAUUCAGGGAGCUGAACCUGAUCAGAGAAGAGCGCUUCAGUCUUCUGAGUCUGCUCCAUGUUUUCCAUCCAACACUAGAGAAGGUCACAGCAGAGACGCUGGCUGUCUGUAAACUUCUGUUCAUCUUUGACGGUCUGGAUGAAAGCAGACUGUCUCUGGAUUUCACAGACUCUGAGGUGGUGUCUGACGUCACACAGAAGUCUUCACUCAACGUUCUGUUAACAAACCUCAUCAAGGGGAACCUGCUCCCCUCAGCUCUCAUCUGGAUAACUUCUCGACCUGCAGCAGCCAAUCAGAUCCCUCCUUCACGUGUGGACAGGAUAACAGAAGUACGAGGCUUCAAUGACACCCAGAAGGACGAGUACUUCAGGAAGAGGUUCACAGAUGAAGAUCUGUCCAGAAGAAUCAUCUCACACAUCAAGUCCUCCAGGAGCCUCCACAUCAUGUGUCAGAUCCCGGUCUUCUGCUGGAUCACUGCGACAGUUCUGGAGGACAUGAUGAUCAGAGAGCAGAGAGGAGAGCUGCCCAAGACCCUGACUGACAUGUACUCACACUUCCUGCUGGUCCAGACUAAGAGGAAGAAGCAGAAGUAUGGAGGAGGACAUGAGACAAGUCCUCAGGCACUGAUGGAUGCUGACAGUGACGUCCUCCUGAAGCUGGGGAGGCUGGCAUUGGAACAUCUGAACAGAGGAAACAUCAUGUUCUACCAAGAAGACCUGGAGCGGUGUGGUCUGGAUGUCUCAGAGGCCUCGGUGUACUCAGGAGUUUGUACAGAGAUCUUCAGAAGAGAGAGUGUGAUCUUCCAGAAAACUGUUUACUGUUUUGUUCAUCUGAGCGUUCAGGAGUUUCUGUCUGCAGUCUACAUGAUCCACAGUUUCACAAACAGGAACACAGAAGCUCUGAAGACUUUCCUAAGAAGCAACGAUGAUGAAGAUAAAAUGUCUUCUUCAGAGAUGGUUGACAGAUUUUUUCAAAACCUGGAUUAUUUUUUCUCAUCUCAGGAUGUCUUCCUGAAGAGUGUCAUGAUGAAAUCCCUUGUCAGUAAAAACGGUCACCUGGACCUGUUUGUUCGCUUCCUUCAUGGACUCUCUGUGGAGUCAAACCAGAGACUCUUAGGAGUUCUGCUGGGUCACACAGACAACAGUCCAGAAAUGAUCCAAACAGUCAUCAACAAUCUGAAGGAGAUGAACAGUGAAGAUAUCUCUCCUGACAGAAGCAUCAACAUCUUCCACUGUCUGAUGGAGAUGAACGAUCUGUCAGUUCAUCAGGAGAUUCAAGAGUUCCUGAAGUCAAAGAACAGAUCAGAGAAGGAACUCUCAGAGAUCCACUGCUCUGCUCUGGCCUACAUGCUACAGAUGUCAGAGGAGGUUCUGGAGGAGUUGGACUUAAAGAAUUAUAAAACAUCAGACCAGGGACGACUGAGACUGAUCCCAGCUGUGAGGAACUGCAGAAAGGCUGUGUGAGUCCAGGUUUUAUUCUCAGAAAAGUGUAAAUGAUCCCUGUAGUUCUUCUAAUGUCCACGUUACUGAUGAUGUUCUUCUUCAAAUAGAAAUCAAAUAUCAGGGAGGGGGUUUCUUUAGCAAAAACAUGAUCCUGGUGUCUAAAGUCCUGUUAGCCCAGGAUGAGGUCUACCUGUGGACCCCUGAGAACUUGUCCUGAUUGUGGAGGACCUCUUUGUUUUGAAUCGUGUCUGUAAUGAAUAAAGUGGAACUUUGAGGACAAAUCAGCGACCAUAUCUGAGGACACACAGAGGUCUUCUGAUGAUGGUAUCAGUCCAGAUCAACAUCUCAGUCAGUUGUGGUGAACUUGAGUUUGAAGAAGGUGUCUGCAGCUUCUUCCUGCUGGUUUUCAGGUUGGAAAUGAUGAAUCUGUUGUAAAUGAGGGUGUUGACAGCAUUGAUGGUGAAAAUAGAACUGGAUCAUUUUCUACACAGUGUCAGAACUGUCUCUGUACCAUCAUGUUCAUCAUUCAGUAUUCAUAAUCAAUACAACCAUGAAAACUAACAUCAUUUUCCACCACUCACUGGAGAUUAUCUGCUGGACUAGAACAUAUGAAUGAUGAGAACACAGGAGGUAUUUGGACAGCAGCUCCAUGAGUCUGAAAAAAGUGGUGGAGAUAGGAUGUUAAUGUCUCUCUCUCUCUCUCUCUCUCUCUCUCUCUCUCUCUCACUCUCUCUCUCUCUCUCUGUCUCUCUCUCUCUGCCCACGGUGCUGCAGGUUGGCACUUACACUAGUCUGCCUCAUAACACCUCAUAGCAUGUGAAAACAGCCGUGCUCUUCCACUGUAUAUAUGGACACCAUGUCUCUAAGGAGAAGCAGUGUGACUGCAUCAUCAUCAUCAUCAUCAUCAUCAGUUUUCCAUGUUGUCCCUUUGUUGUCAUGGUGAUGCAGAGUGAAGAUGAUUCCUCUCAUGUUGAGAUGUUGGUGGGCUGUAACUCGGCUGCACGCCUCUGUUUCAGAUGUUGAUGUAAAUUGGUCAGACUGCUGCCUUCUGCUGAAACAGCCUGUAAACAAACACUGCAGCAGACUGGGGUUUGAUCCAGGUCUGAGUCUGAGAGACUGAACCAGGUCUAAAGGACUAACAAGGACUCUUUUAGGGAGCAGAAAAGUCUGUUUUUGGUCAUAACUAGCAUGGCUGUGAUUAGGUUGAAUUAAUACAGGUACCCAUAUUGAUCCUCCAUGUUGGUAUUAUCAGGACUCAUUAUUGAUACCUCACUUCAUGAUUUAGUGCAAACAUUUAAAAAAGAGAAGAAAACAUGUUCAAAGAUGAAUCUCUUUUAUUUCUUCUGACUCCAGAUGUUUCUUUCUGCAUCAAACACACAAACUAGAAAAAUUCAAUGUUAUUUUUAUAGGAAUCAUGGGAAUGUACGCCCCCUAGAGUUACAUGGAGAAAAAACUUUCAUUGUGAAAACAAAGAAAUUUUGAAUUCUUCAAAUGUUCAGAGUCAAACCAGCUCUAACCUGCUAAAAAAUGUUUUUAUCUGAACCAAUCAGAGAAACAGGAGCUGCUGUGAUUUAGUGAGUCGUCCUCUGAUUGGUCAACAGUCAGUGUCUAUGGAAAGACUUACAUUACAGCAGGAUGUCAACAUUAAACACUGAGAGGAGCACUGAUUCUCCAAGAGGUACUUUGGAUACUGACCAAUCACAUACCAGGACCAAAAACCUGGUUCUCAGUCCCCUUCUCCAACCAGAACUCAAGAAUUCACUCAAUCAUAAUGAUCCAGCUGCACUAACAUGAAGACAACACUGUUAGAGAACAGAAUGACUAAAAUAAGUCAUGGAGUCAUUUGUCUUGAACAUCAAAACAGUUUUUUUUUUCUUCUAAACUUUGACUUCCUGUCUUCUCUCAUGGCUGUGGUCCUGAUAUUAGUAUCUGUCUGGUUAAAAACAGGCCGUCUGUCAAACCAAAGAUCAUGUUUGUUUUUGGUGAGGAGAAACAUCAAAUUACCCUUUAAUGAAAUAUUGUUGAUAUUUAUGUUGUUACAGAUUUUCUCUCUGUGGACUCUCAGAGACUCACUGUGAAGUUGUGGCCUCAGCUCUGAAGUCCAACCCCUCCCAUCUGAGAUAUCUGGACCUGAGUAACAACGAGCUGAAGGAUUCAGGGGUGAAGCUUCUCUCUGCAGGACUGGAGAGUCCAAACUGCAGACUGGAGACUCUGAGGUGAGACACCAUUUCCUUCUGAUCUAACAAUAAGAUGUGACAGCUGCUGCCUUAGAUUUUUCUCUGUGGUUUUUCCAUCAACUUUGGUCGAGCAGUUUGAAUUUGUCGUUGUAAAACUUCAACACAGGAAGAAAAAUCCGACAUUUCAGAGUUGACUUUGAGGAGAACGAUGGAUGUAGAAAGGAAGCAGGAGAAAAUCAGUCCACAAAUAUUACACAUGCUUGUAGAGGGCAGGAGCAGCACAGACUAAAGACUGAUACUGAACUGAUCCACAGUUAAUGUGAUCACUAAUGAAUGAAUGAAGUGUCAGAGAAAUGAGGAGCUGCAGAUUGAAACCUGAAGAACAAAGUUAAUCCAACUCUGGAUAUUUCAUUUGGAAACUCUUGAAAACUUGAAUUUCUUCUUUGCUCAGUCGUGUUCAAAUGUAAAAACCAGAUCCAGAUUUGUCUGCAGUUUUCACUUCAGUUUGUUGAACAUGAACAUCAUCUUGUCCAGUUGGUCCAUAAAAACCUCUCUGAUCAAUGAUCUGUUGGUUUAUUUAAGAGUAGUUUGGCAGUUGUUGACAGCAGACGGACAGACCCCUGAAUAAACUCCUGACUGUUUUCAUCUUCAUGAAGAAUUCAGGACUACAAAAGAACCUUUGAGAUUUCUCACAUGAGUUUCUCAGGAUCUCACUAAAGUUUUCUGUUUCUUUAAAAUUUUCUUGACUGAUAAAUUCCUCAGGAUCUUCAAAAAGUUUAGAGAAGAUUUUACAAAGUUCCUGAAGAUCAACUCUGAAAAAGUUCUUCUUCCGUGUCCUUCAGGGGCUCAAGAACAUUGAAUCAUUAAAAACAGGAACAGUUUCUUCAGAGGUUCCAUGAUUUUUUUCUUUUUUCAGACUGUGACAGGUGUUUAUUAGUCUUUUUGACACAUUACAAUAAUGAGGAUAAAGUCAUGGACUAAACUUGGGCUCCCAGUUUCCUUGUUGUUGUUUCUUCAGCUAGCAUCAUUGUUUUCAUCACAGUUAUUAAAGUAAUAAUGAUGCUUCAUAAAUUCAGAGUCACAAAAAAACACCAAACAAACCAAAUCUGAAAAAAAUUCACUUUUUCAUCAAAUGAGUUUAAUCGGUCAGAACAUGAGGUUUGAGUUUUCAUGAGGAGGAAACGAGAAAGAUCUGCUCUGACAGUGAGAAACACAGACGCCUGAAUCUACACUGACAGACAGACAAACACAGACAGAGAGACACAGACAGAGAGACACAGACACAGACACACAAAUACAGACACACAGAGACACAGACACACAGACUAACAGAGAUUUUCUUCUUCGUCUCUUUGCUGUGAUGACUGAAGUCACAAAAACAAAGUUUUCUUCGUCACUUUUAUGAUUGAACCAAAUAAGUUAAAGAACCAAACUCUCAGAUUUUCUUCUUCUCAAUAUUAUUUGAACCAUUUUGAUUUUUCUCCUGAUCAAUAUUCAAUGAUCAGAUUGAUCAGGUUCCUGUUUUGGCUCCACUGCCUCUUUUCUGCAGCUCAAUAACUGCUCAUAUGGUUUGAAAGGUUCCUGCAGUAAAAACCCGAUUAGAGAGUGGACUAAAUGAAAUGUGAGUGAACUCAGCCAUCAGUGAAUCAAUGACAAAGUGAGAGGAAGAGUGGAUCUGUCUGCUCUCUGACCUUGUUGAUCCUGAUGAAGGUGAGGGAGAAGAGUAAAGCAGUAAAGGUGAUGUUGUUGCAGACAGAGUCAGCUGACCUGUCUCAUCAGAGUCUCAUCCAUUCUCUGUUUGGCAGAGCGCUGAUGUUACAGUCUGAGAGCACAUUCAGGUUCAGCUUCACAUGGGCUGGAUCUGCUCAAUACAAACUCUUAAGACCAGCCUGGUUGAGGGAGGUGGGCUCAGUGUCCUGGGUGACUCUCUCUGAGCUCUUCUUGGUUGAGAGUAUUUCUGGUUUGUCACUGACUUCCAUGAACUCAGAUCUGGAGGAUUGCUGGCUGGUCUGGUCCAGUUCUGACAGUAGAGACAACACAGUCUGUUAUUCUGGGUUGAGUGUUCUUGUUGAAGAUCAGUGUACAGUGAGGGAUGAAGGCAGACAAAGAUCCUCCUGUUUCCUCCAUGUCACAGUUCAAGUUCAUUUUGAAGACUUUGAUUGAUCCGAGCGCUGAAGAGGAACAGGAAACGAGGAGUAGAGAGUGAGGGAGGACUUACAGCAAAGGAUCAUGGGAGUCCAACCAGCAACUGCUGCAACAAGGACUCCACCUUCUGAUCACCUGAACCUCUAAUCCAAACCAGUGCUCCAUCACAUUUGAUGUCUUGUCUGUUAUUUUACAUGGAGGGUCAGAGCAGACCAGAUCAUGAGCUCUGACAGACUGGAUCUGGUCCAAAGGUCUCCUGUUGGAGUUCUCUAAGCUCCAUAUUUUAAACCUGAACACCUGAAGUUUGAUUAUUAAUUAUUUUUAUCUUCAUUCUCUUUCCUUUUUUCAGAUUGUAUAAAUGCAGUUUGUCAGAGAUCAGCUGUUCUUCUCUGGCCUCAGCUCUGAAGUCCAACCCCUCCCAUCUGAGACAUCUGGACCUGAGCUUAAACGAUCUGCAGGAUUCAGGAGUGAAGCUUCUGUGUGACUUUCUGCAGAGUCCAAACUGUAAACUGGAGACUCUAGAGUGAGACUUUUUCCCUCCAUUCAAACAUGAUCAUGAUUUGUUUGUGAUGAUGACACUAAACUGCUGACUCAGGACUGAAAUACUGACCCAGACUGAACACCUUCAGUCCAGAGUAGAUUUUCUGCAUCAGUGGAUUAUUUGAUUGACUCCAGUUAGAUCACUGCUGAGCUCCAGUGAAUUAAAACCUGAACCCAAGAGGAAAACUCUUUGUAGAGUUCAUAGUGAGAAGCACAUUCAGACAGAAAACAGAAGCAGGGGGAGAUUUGUCAGAUGAGAACCAUUCAAACUUUUGUUCAGGACAAGAUCAGGGAAUAGAAAAAACUCAGAGUUUAGUUUCUGACUCUGAUGAAAGUCCAGCUCUGUUACUUUGAAUUUUGUUUUUGAAUCUUUGUGUAAAAAUCUGAAUUUUCUGGUUUAUCUGCACUUUUCUGAAGCCUUGCUGUGUUUAGACUGAAAUAUUUACCUCCCAAACACGUGAUAUUUUUUAUCUGCAUCUACAAUCAGUAAAAAAGUCUCUGAGUUUUUUAUUUCACUAUUUAAUGUGUUUUUGAAUUCACUGUUUCAAACUGACUUCCUGUUUGGUUCAGCUCUUUGGAGCGUCACUUUUCUUUGAUUCAGACUUUCCAAACCUUUCCCCUGAACUCUACAGAUUUAAGACAUCAGGUUUCAAACUGGAUCAUUUUUGUCUAAAAUCUCAUUAUUUCCUCUUUAUUUAGGUUGUGGCGCUGCAGUUUGACGAAGAUCAGCUGUUCUUCUCUGGCCUCAGCUCUGAAGUCCAACCCCUCCCAUCUGAGACAUCUGGACCUGACUGAAAACAAUCUGCAAGAUUCAGGAGAGAAGCUGCUGUGUGAUCUUCAGAAGAGUCCAGACUACAUACUGGAGUAUCUGCUGUCAGUCUAGAGUUGGAGUUAGUCUGUGCUGAUCUCUCCUGUUCCUCUCCACACAGUAUCACAGCAGAUAUUCAGUAUUUCCUGCUGACUCUUCGACCCUCUCAGAGGAUUAUCUCUUUAGUGAAGCUGUGAGAACAGAAAUCAUCAAACCAGGAGUGUAAGAGUGUCAGUGAUGAAAAAAGUGUCUCCUCGUCUCUAUAUUUCAGAUCAAAUGUAGAAAUGAGACAUAAUGAAACAGAAAUGUUCAGUUUCUGCUCUGAAGUCCAGUUUAUAGUUCUCUGUAUUCAACACAGACUUUAUUUCUCUGCUAACUUGUUGAUUUUGAGCUCUAAGUCUGAAAACAGACAGCUGUUCUUUAUACUUGUUAUUUUCACAGCAGGUUUGUUCGAUCAGCUUUAACACAUUUGACAGGAAUGAUUUCUUUAUUUUGAUGAUGUUGGUUUAUUUGUGAGGAAACCUGCUGCUUUACACCAUCACUUCUGGUCUGAGCAGGACUGAGACCUGCUGGUCUGUAAACUGGAUGUUCUUCAGUCCAGCUGAUGAAGUGAGUCUCAGAGUGGAAACACUGAUCGUCUUUUUUUCUCUCCUCAGAUGGUGAUAACAUCCGUCAGAGUGAUUAAGAAGAGGAUCGUGUGUUUCCUGACGAUCAGAGAGGUGGAGGCAGCAGCAGUGAGGGUGAGGUGAGUCUCUGACUGAGAGACUGACUGACCAAUCACAGCGGGCGGAGAGGACUCUGGGAGCUGCACUUUGACCUGCUCUGAGAUCAGCUCAGGACCUGGACUCUGGAUAUUUGAUAUUUUCCCUCAUACUCUGGGAUCAAACAGUCUGAACAGGUUUGUUUUGUUGAUGGAAACAUGAUCAUAAAUUUACACUUUGAUUGGAUUACUUUUUUUUACCAUGAUACAGCGCCACCCAGUGGAAAUAUAAAGAGGUGGAGUUGAUUUAUUCCCUCAUAUUUCUGUAGCAGGAGUUGAUACCAUGUGUGAGAGUAGAUCACUCAGAAGUUCAGAUAAAACCCAAAGGUUUUUUCUUUCCUCUGCACCGUUAGAGACCGAAUAUAAACUGAAGGGAGAGGAAGAGAAGUGAGGAGAGAUGGAGGUGAAGGGAGGAGGAGGAGGACAGGGUUUGGGGUUUUAACAAAAAUCUGAAGCUUUAUUCUUUCACUUGAUUAUUUUUAUUCAUCCGUUUUCUUCUUCAUUUUCUGAAAUUAUGGUAAAUAUUGACUGGAGGUAAAUUUAUUUUAUUUAAUAUUAUUAGACACUAUUUUCCGUCUCUUUACAUGUUUUUGUUCUCAUAUCAUCUUUGUGCUCAUCAAUAAUCGAUUCCCUCCAGUUUGAACAAAUACAAUUAUUAAACCAUAAAUGAGACCUGAGAGUAAAAUUAAAAUGUGUGAAAUAUAAUCAGUCAAAAGAAAGAUUCUUGAACAAAAACAAAAACAUUAUUUUUACUUUAUUAUGAUGGAGAAGUUUUCCUCUGACAGACAAAAAUAACCGUAUUGACUGGAGUCUGGAAAAAGUGAGAUCAGCAUCUAUUCAGGGUGAAGUCACUAACGUGGUCGAUGCUGUUUUAUAAACUCAGUGUUGUUGAUUACAAUCUCAGCUUCAUAAACUGAUGCUACAGCUCAUGUCACAGUCUGCUCACACCACAGAAACAUUAAACAUAGAACUAUUGUGAACAGAUUUGUCCUCUUCAGCUAAUCUACUAUCAAUAGAUCUGUGCUCUGUCUGUGUAACACUAUGUUGGUUCUUCAUUUACACCAGAUCAUUUUUUAUUUCAUUUCACUGUAACAAUGUCAUUUAAAGAUAAUAAAAACUUUAUUUGAACCAAAACAUGUUAAAAACGUCAACUCGGCUCGUUUCAUUCACUGUGUGCAAUUGAUUAUUAUUAUUUUUCAUUCAAACAGAAACUAGAUUUGGUCUUUAAAAAGUCCUCAAAGUGAGUCUGAAAAGUAGAGGAAGGUUUUCUCAUCAGGGUGCAGCACAGUUGUUUCCUGUGUUUUCAUUUGUGAUAUUCUCUCUAAGGUGUGUUAUUGUUCAUUUAAAGUAUGUGGAGGACAAAUCCACACAUCUAACAAAAAAAGGUAAAAUAUAAAGAUAGAUUUCUGCAUGACAUCAACGAUAUCCUAGAUUUAGUUUUCUAAGCAACAGGUGGUCGUCUUUUAUCGGGGGUACUUUGAUCCAGAAAUCUGAAAAGGGGUUACUAAAGCAAAAGAAGAAAAACCAGAGACUGUAUAUAGAAUGGACAGAGUCUGCCUCCUCGCUGGGUGAAGCCACUCUGAGAACAGCACCCUCUGUUGAUGGGCUGCAGUAUAGGUCAUAAAUCCCGCCUGCGCCAGCAAAGCUUAUGGAGCUGUGGACGAACUUUAGAAAUUUAUUACACAGAACAUAAUUUUUUCUCCCUCCUGGUUGUGAUGUUGACAUGUAGUUAUUGUCAGACUGGUUUGUGCUCAAGUCCUCUUUUUUCUGUACAGCUCAAUUUUUAAAAGUUAUUAGGGGGUUCAUGUUUGCUAUGACGUUUCACAGCCAUAAGGAAUAACCAAUCGGAGCCUAGCACUUCUAGCCAAUCAGAUGCGAAGGAGGGUGGGACCUUCCCCUACCAUCCCACGAAAAAAAAAAAACAAACACGUCCGGGUUUGCCGACCUUUAUUUCUGAGCCCCAGAUAACAGGACAGAGAUACCUAAAGCAUACAACGUGAACUUGUGUUAUCACUUCAACAUCUAACUAAAUAUAUGUUGGACAGUGAUCUUUGUAAAGUGAGGUGAAGGAGCAGUUUGUGUAGUGACAACACAAUCACACUGUGUGCAAAAAUAAAAACCUGUUCAACCAAAUCUUCACAUUUAUUGGGGUAUGAGAAGAGGAGCGCUCAUCUGAAGUUUGUUGGUUUGACCAGCAGGUGGAGCUGCUGCAUUAACAAUAAACUGAGACUCAACCAAACAAACAAGUUCCUGUUUUAGUGAACUUUGAAUUUGGACUCAGGAGAGGAAGAUGGUUGUCAAGAAUACUGAACUUAAAAGAUGAUGAAUAACGGUCAGUAAAUGAGGAGAAGAAUCUGUGAUCUGGUGGUUUAGGUUUCAGUGAAAACAGUCAGAGUGAAAGUGAAAGUAUGUGAGCUGAAAAACAGACUCCAUUUUGAGAAAAGAAGAGAGAGGAGAGGACGAGGAGACAGGGUGAGUGUUUACUCUGUUUUAGUUUUAAUGUCAAACUCUUUAUCUGUUUUAUCUGUUAAUGAAAAAAUGAUUUACUGACUAAAACACUUAAAAACUGUAAAACAAAGAAACCUGAGCAGACAAAGAGCUGGAUCAGUUCUUCAUACAGGAAACUGUGUAACUGCAGUUCUUCCUCCUCUUUGUUUAGACUUGUCUUUUUGGUAAAAAUAUGAAUCAGAAUCUUUUUAGCGUCUCAUUUCAAAUUUAAUCCAGUCUCCUUAAGUUUUUUUCUGAGAGUUCAGGGACCUCACAGCUGAUUUUGUUUUGACCAUGAAUCAGACAAGGAUCAGAGAGAGGCCCUGCAGGGUGGGGAGACAUCAGAAGUUCUUGGAUAUUAAACCUGUAUAACUCUUAAAGAGGGGGAUGAAGCUGUUUUUAGACUCUGUACUUCCUUUCUGAUUCCUCUUUUAUUUCUGAACUCUCUCUUCCUGUUUGUGUCUCACCUGUUUGUCUUCUUUGUCCUCAGGUUGUAUAACUCGGUUUCAGCCUCCAUAAAUUUGCACAACAGAAGAUGGAGAAGAUGAGUGUUGGUGUCGAGGAAGAGGAGGGCAGAGCAGAGUCUGAUAUGUUUGACUGUCUGUCUAUGAAGAGUGACCGGUCUAAAGGUUUUGAUAUAAACUUCAGUAAAGAACCAGGACCCCCAGAGCAGGACAGAACAAAGUCUGUUAUCUCCAGCUGUCUGUCUAUGAAGAGUGACCGGUCUAAAGAUCCUCCACCAAAAUUCAGUGAAGAACCAGGACCCUCAGAUUCACAGUAAGAGAAACACUUUUCAAUCACCAAACUCUCAAACAACCUCUGACGUUUCAAAUACAAAACUUUAAAUCCUGACCCCUCUGUUUUCUCCUCUGUUCUCAAAACACUGAUUUUCCUCUUGAACCUGCCAACCUGGAUAAAAUUCAAUUCAAUCCAACUUUAUUUAUAAAGCCCAUUUCAUGCAAAAGGCAGACUCAAUGUUCUUCACAACAGGUGUACAUAGUUAAAAACAGUUAUACAAAAAUCUAUUAGAAAUCAAUUUAAGAGUGUAAGUGCAAGUCAACCAACUUCACCGCGAAUGCUACAGAAAUCUGUUUUUAAAGAUGGCUACUGAUGUGUCUAACUGUGUCAGGCAGGGUGUUCCAUUUUUGUGGGGCAUAAACACUCAAAGCUGCCUCCCCUUAUUUGGAUCUGGUGUGAGGGAUGAGUAAGUUGCCACUGCCUGUUGACCGAAGUGUUCUUGCUGGGGUGUAGGUGAUGAGCAUAUCUGUGAUGUACUGAGGUGCAAGGCCAUGUAGUGCUUUGUAAACCAGGAGGAGUAUUUUGAAAUCGAUUCUUGUCCUAACGGGUAACCAAUGUACAGAUUUGAGAACGGGUGUGAUGUGUUGAUAUUUUUUGGUACCAGUGAGAAUUCAUGCAGCUGCAUUUUGAAUUAACUGUAACCUCUGAAGACUUGAUUUUGGGAGUCCAGUGAAUAAACUGUUACAGUAAUCCAGUUUACUUCUUAUAAAUGCAUGGAUGAAUUUUUCUAAGUCUGAUUUUGACAGAAAGCCCCUCAGUUUGGAGAUAUUUUUGAGAUGAUAGAAAGAUGAUCUUGUAAUGGAUAAAAGGCUGGUAAAGAAAAACUCACUGAGCACAGAUUUACUUAUUAUUCUUGAUGUUGAUAAAAAUGAAGGUCGUAUAAAACAGCAUUUGAAAAGGAUUCUGACUUCUUGUAUUUUCUGAUUUGGUUCCUGUGUUUGGGACGUUUUGAGCCUGUUAGUCUUUGGACUGUGGUGUAUAGACCCCAGAAAACAGUCUGUGGGUCACAAAAUACCAGAAGACCAAUGAAGAAAUAAAUCCUGAAAAAUAAAAACAUAAUUCAGAGCAUCUGUCUGUUAUUAGACCUUUAGAUCUGAUUGGUCAAAAAAAAAGUUUUAAACUGUCAGAGAAAAUCUCUCUACCUUCAAAAAUCACAGUUUAGUUUUUUCUCUUGUCACGACACUUUCAGGCAGCAGCAGCUGAAUAUUUUACAGGAGAUUGUUUUAUGUUAGAGAAAAGAGAAACUCUGGUUUAAUAAAUGUUUCUUAUUCUGUAUCUUUCAAACAUGAAAUAAUAAAGAAAAUAAAUGUUCUUUAUUUCCACAGAGAGACACAGAGAUGUGACUCUGUGGAGGAGCAGCUGUCCAAAUGUUCUUUAUGUCAGGAUGUCCUGAAGGAUCCAGUCUCUACCCGCUGUGGACACAGGUUCUGCAGACAGUGCCUCGCCUCAUUCAGGGACCAGUCUACUUCUUCAGGACACACCUCCUGUCCUCAGUGUGGAAAAAGAACCAGAACAGUUCUUGUUCUUCAGACAGACAGCCAGUCCAGCUCUGAUCGAAGUAAGUCUGAACACCUUUAAACCCUAAAUUAUACAAUUUCUGCCUGAAUUAUUUUGCUUAUUUUAGCCAUAAAAUUGGCAGAAAAUGUCCUAUGAGUGAGUGCUUUUUUAUUCAUUGGCUUUCAACCCUGCAUGAGACUCGGCUCCUGUUUUAGUGUUUUAUGUUUUUUUUUUUUUUUUUAUGUCUAUGCUUUUUUGUCUAUUUAUAUACAGCACUUUGGUUGGCUGUGGUUGUUUUAAAGUGCUUUACAAAUAAAGUUGAGUUUUACCCAUUUUUCCAGAGCACUUAAAACUUUCAAUAUCUGGCUGUCAUUUACGAUUUACUGUCUGUUAAAAGAGUGCUUUAACAUUGUAAGAUAAAGAAAAACACAAAAACGGAAUACAAUUUUUUUUGAGUUUUAAUGAGAAAAAAACAGAAAAUAUUCAUGAAAAACAGAUUGUUCAUUUGAAAUAAAAAAAUUAAAGAGUAUCAAACAUAUUUACAGCAAAAACUUUGGAGUGCUGUCUCUCCAAGUGCAAAAACAGGCUAACUAAAUACAACUGUGUCCAGGCGUUUCUCCUCUCUCACUCAGAGGUCUUUGUGAAACUGUCAGAAGCUGUUCCUUUCUGUCUGCAGACACAGACCCACAUCACACCCCUCACACUUCCAGACAGUUCUCCUUAUGACAAAGUUUGCAGCGUCGUCUCCUCAUGCUAGUUCUUUUAGACUUCAUCUGCCCAUGGCUUGUUUGGGCACGUAGCUAUACUCUACUAUAAACGGUGAGCAUUUCUGCCAAGUGGAUGUAAUUCUCGGGGGGCAUGUGUUUCUCGGCAACACAUCAACGGCUGCAAAUGAGAAACCAACAAGAGAAAACCGCCGAAGAUGAAAACUUUUUAGUAAAAAGAAAAGCAACGUCACUUACCAUUGAAGACGAAUACUCGUUGAUUAAAAGAAAAGCAACGUCACUUACCAUUGAAGAUGAAUAUUCGUUGAUUAAAAGAAAAGCCACGUCACUUAUCUGUAAUUAUUUCGGUAACAAAAAGGAUGACGUCACCUAACACCUGUUCUGUGUCGGCAGUGUCUUUCAUCUGUUUCCACAAUAACGUCCCAGCAGAACAAUAAAAACUAAAAAUAUCUCUAAGACAGACAGAAGCCAUUCUACUAACAUUCACUAAAAGAGGGAAGAUCAGUGCAGGUUAACAGAGAGCCCUUCAUUCAUCCAGAAACCCACUCAGAAAAUCAACCAGUCAAACUUUACCUUUCUCUGUCUGAAGUUUCUCUGAAAGCUUCUCCAUCGGUCCCAAAGUCGUCUGUAAACCUCAGUGGAGGUUUUCUCACUCAGGAAGGAUUUAUCACAGACAUUUUCCUCUGAAAUAAUCACUUUUUUUUUGGUAAUUUUUCUCUCUUUUUGCUCCGUUUCUCUGCUCUGUUGUUUGUCUAUCUACUGCUUUCUUUGUGAGGGGGAGAGGGGACGGAGAGACAGAUUUCCUCUCUAAACAGCAGGAGUGAAAUUACCGUAAUAACCGUUUAUUGGCCGUGUGGCGCAACUUCUCACUUUUCAGAAACCGUUGGAGAUUUUUUUUUGAUAGAACAAACUAUCCCAAAGUUACGGUAAUUUAAAGAGCGCCUGUAUAAAGGUGUCGGCGCCGACGGACUGUGAGGAAAAGUCUGUGUGGAUGAAAACUCAGCUGACUGAUUUUCACAAAGACGUUUCAGUGUUGAGAAGUUUGGUUCAUUUUAUUUUUCUUCUCUUUCAGAAGAUGGCCUCCCGCAGGAGGUUUUAGAUGAACAUAAGAUAAGUCUGAAGAGGAGAUGUGAACGUGUGAAUGAAGGAAGUGAUGUAACAGGAAGUAGUCAAACCCUCCUCAACAGGAUCUUCACUGAGCUCUACAUCACAGAGGGACUGAGUGAAGAGGUGAACACCCAACAUGAGGUGAGACAGCUGGAGACUACUUCAAAGAUGAAGACCCUCCAUGACACGCCCAUCAGGUGUCAUGAGAUCUUUAAAACCUUACCUGACCAACAGAAGAAGCUCAUCAGAGUGGUUCUGACCAACGGCGUGGCUGGUGUUGGAAAAACCUUCUCAGUGCAGAAGUUCACUCUGGACUGGGCAGAGGGUUUGGAGAACCAAGACCUCCAUCUGGUGGUCCUGCUUUCAUUCAGGGAGCUGAACCUGAUCAGAGAUGAGCGCUUCAGUCUUCUGAGUCUGCUCCAUGUUUUCCAUCCAACCCUAGAGAAGGUCACAGCAGAGACGCUGGCUGUCUGUAAACUUCUGUUCAUCUUUGACGGUCUGGAUGAAAGCAGACUGUCUCUGGAUUUCACAGACUCUGAGGUGGUGUCUGACGUCACACAGAAGUCUUCACUGAACGUUCUGAUAACAAACCUCAUCAAGGGGAACCUGCUCCCCUCAGCUCUCAUCUGGAUAACUUCUCGACCUGCAGCAGCCAAUCAGAUCCCUCCUUCACAUGUGGACAGGGUAACAGAAGUACGAGGCUUCACUGACGACCAGAAGGACGAGUACUUCAAGAAGAGGUUCAGAGAUGAAGAUCUGUCCAGAAGAAUCAUCUCACACAUCAAGUCCUCCAGGAGCCUCCACAUCAUGUGUCAGAUCCCGGUCUUCUGCUGGAUCACUGCGACAGUUCUGGAGGACAUGAUGAGCAGAGAGCAGAGAGGAGAGCUGCCCAAGACCCUGACUGACAUGUACUCACACUUCCUGCUGGUCCAGACUCAGAGGAAGAAGCAGAAGUAUGAAGGAGGACAUGAGACAAGUCCUCAGGCACUGAUGGAUGCUGACAGUGACGUCCUCCUGAAGCUGGGGAGGCUGGCCUUUGAACAUCUGAAGAAAGGAAACAUCAUGUUCUACCAAGAAGACCUGGAGCGGUGUGGUCUGGAUGUCUCAGAGGCCUCGGUCUACUCAGGAGUUUGUACAGAGAUCUUCAGAAGAGAGAGUGUGAUCUUCCAGAAAACUGUUUACUGUUUUGUUCAUCUGAGCGUUCAGGAGUUUCUGUCUGCAGUCUACAUGAUCCACAGUUUCACAAACAGGAACACAGAAGCUCUGAAGACUUUCCUAAGAAGCAACGAUGAUGAAGAUAAAAUGUCUUCUUCAGAGAUGGUUGACAGAUUUUUUCAAAACCUGGAUUAUUUUUUCUCAUCUCAGGAUGUCUUCCUGAAGAGUGUCGUGGAGAACUCCCUUCUCAGUAAAAACGGUCACCUGGACCUGUUUGUUCGCUUCCUUCAUGGACUCUCUGUGGAGUCAAACCAGAGACUCUUAGGAGGUCUGCUGGGUCACACAGACAACAGUCCAGAAAUGAUCCAAACAGUCAUCAAGAACCUGAAGGAGAUGAACAGAGAAGAUAUCUCUCCUGACAGAAGCAUCAACAUCUUCCACUGUCUGAUGGAGAUGAACGAUCUGUCGGUUCAUCAGGAGAUUCAAGAGUUCCUGAAGACAAAGAACAUAUCAGAGAAGAAACUCUCAGAGAUCCAAUGCUCUGCUCUGGCCUACAUGCUGCAGAUGUCAGAGGAGGUUCUGGAUGAGUUAGACUUACAGAAGUAUAAAACAUCAGACCAGGGACGACUGAGACUGAUCCCAGCUGUGAGGAACUGCAGAAAGGCUGAGUAAGUCCAGGUUUUAUUCUCAGAAUAGUGUAAAUGAUCCCUGUAGUUCUUCUAAUGUCCACGUUACUGAUGAUGUUCUUCUUCAAAUAGAAAUCCACUCAAAUAUCAGGGAGGGGGUUUCUUCAGCAAAAACAUGAUCCUGGUGUCUAAAGUCCUGUUAGUCCAGGAUGAGGUCUACCUGUGGACCCCUGAGAACUUGUCCUAAUUGUGGAGGACCUCUUUGUUUUGAAUCGUGUCUGUAAUGAAUAAAGUGGAACUUUGAGGACAAAUCAGCGACCAUAUCUGAGGACACACAGAGGUCUUCUGAUGAUGGUAUCAGUCCAGAUCAGGUGAACUUGAGUUUUAAGAAGGUGUCUGCAGCUUCUUCCUGCUGGUUUUCAGGUUGGAAAUGAUGAAUCAGUUGUAAAUGAGGGUGUUGACAGCAUUGAUGGUGAAAAUAGAACUGGAUCAUUUUCUACACAGUGGCAGAACUGUCUAACCUUCAAAGAAAUGUUUUUAUCUGAACCAAACAGAGAAAAAGGAGCUGCUGUGAUUUAGUGAGUCGUCUUCUGAUUGGUCAACAGUCAGUGCCUUACAUUAUAGCAGGAUGUCAACACUAAACACUGAGAGGAGCAUGAGUCAUGGAGUCAUUUGUCUUGAACGUCUGAACAGUUUUUUUUUUCUUCUAAACUUGGACUUCCUGUCUUCUCUCAUGGCUGUGGUCCUGAUAUUAGUAUCUGUCUGGUUAAAAACAGGCCGUCUGUCAAACCAAAGAUCAUGUUUGAGUUGUUUUUGGGGAAGAGAAACAUCAAAUAACCCUUUAAUAAAAUAUUGUUUGAUAUUCAUUUUGUCACAGAUUUAAUAACUGUGGACUCUCAGAGACUCACUGUGAAGUUGUGGCCUCAGCUCUGAAGUCCAACCCCUCCCAUCUGAGACAUCUGAACCUGAGAAACAACAGACUGCAGGAUUCAGGAGUGAAGCUUCUCUCUGCAGGACUGGAGAGUCCAAACUGCAGACUGGAGACUCUGAGGUGAGACACCAUUUCCUUCCGAUCUAACAAUAAGAUGUGACAGCUGCUGCCUUAGAUUUUUCUCUGUGGUUUUUCCAUCAACUUUGGUCGAGCAGUUUGAAUUUGUCGUUGUAAAACUUCAACACAGGAAGAAAAAUCCGACAUUUCAGAGUCGACUUUGAGUAGAACGAUGGAUGUAGAAAGGAAGCAGGAGAAAAUCAGUCCCACAAAUAUUAUACAUGCUUGUAGAGGGCAGGAGCAGCACAGACUAAAGGCUGAUAUUGAACUGAUCCACAGUUAAUGUGAUCACUAAUGAAUGAAUGAAGUGUCAGAGAAAUGAUGAGCUGCAGAUUGAAACCUGAAGAACAAAGUUAAUCCAACUCUGGAUAUUUCAUUUGGAAACUCUUGAAAACUUGAAUUUCUUCUUUGCUCAGUCGUGUUCAAAUGUAAAAACCAGAUCCAGAUUUUUCUGCAGUUUUCACUUCAGUUUGUUGAACAUGAACAUCAUCUUGUCCAGCUGGUCCAUAAAAACCUCUCUGAUCAAUGAUCUGUUGGUUUAUUUAAGAGUAGUUUGUCAGUUGUUGACAGCAGACGGACAGACCCCUGAAUAAACUCCUGACUGUUUUCAUCUUCAUGAAGAAUUCAGGACUACAAAAGAACCUUUGAGAUUUCUCACAGGAGUUUCUCAGGAUCUCACUAAAGUUUUCUGUUUCUGUAAAAUUUUCUCGACUGAUAAAUUCCUCUGGAUCUUCAAAAAGUUUAGAGAGGAUUUUACAAAGUUCCUGAAGAUCAACUCUGAAAAAGUUCUUCUUCCGUGUCCUUCAGGGUUCAAGAACAUUGAAUCAUUAAAAACAGGAACAGUUUCUUCAGAGGUUACAUGAUUUUUUUCUUUUUUCAGACUGUGACAGGUGUUUAUUAGUCUUUUUGACUCAUUACAAUAAUGAGGAUAAAGUCAUGGACUAAACUUGGGCUCCCAGUUUCCUUGUUGUUGUUUCUUCAGCUAGCAUCAUUGUUUUCAUCUCAGUUAUUAAAGUAAUAAUGAUGCUUCAUAAAUUCAGAGUCACAAAAAAACACCAAACAAACCAAAUCUGAAAAAAAUUCACUUUUUCAUCAAAUGAGUUUAAUCGGUCAGAACAUGAGGUUUGAGUUUUCAUGAGGAGGAAACGAGAAAGAUCUGCUCUGACAGUUAGAAACACAGACACCUGAAUUUACACUGACAGACAGAGAGACACAGACAGAGACACAGACAGACACAGACAGAGACACACAAACACAGACUAACAGAGAUGUUCCUCUUCGUCUCUUUGCUGUGAUGACUGAAGUCACAAAAACAAAGUUUUCUUCGUCACUUUUAUGAUUGAACCAAAGAAGUUAAAGAACCAAACUCUCAGAUUUUGUUCUUCUCAAUUUUAUUUGAACCAUUUAGAUUUUUCUCCUGAUCAAUAUUCAAUGAUCAGAUUGAUCAGGUUCCUGUUUUGGCUCCACUGCCUCUUUUCUGCAGCUCAAUAACUGCUCAUAUGGUUUGAAAGGUUCCUGCAGUAAAACCCGAUUAGAGAGUGGACUAAAUGAAAUGUGAGUGAACUCAGCCAUCAGUGAAUCAAUGACAAAGUGAGAGGAAGAGUGGAUCUGUCUGCUGUCUGACCUUGUUGAUCCUGAUGAAGGUGAGGGAGAAGAGUAAAGCAGUAAAGGUGAUGUUGUUGCAGACAGAGUCAGCUGACCUGUCUCAUCAGAGUCUCAUCCAUUCUCUGUUUGGCAGAGCACUGAUGUUAGAGUCUGAGAGCACAUUCAGGUUCAGCUUCACAUGGGCUGGAUCUGCUCAAUACAAACUCUUGAGACCAGCCUGGUUGAGGGAGGUGGGCUCAGUGUCCUGGGUGACUCUCUCUGAGCUCUUCUUGGUUGAGAGUAUUUCUGGUUUGUCUCUGACUUCCAUGAACUCAGAUCUGGAGGAUUGCUGGCUGGUCCGGUCCAGUUCUGACAGUAGAGACAACACAGUCUGUUAUUCUGGGUUGAGUGUUCUUGUUGAAGAUCAGUGUACAGUGAGGGAUGAAGGCAGACAAAGAUCCUCCUGUUUCCUCCAUGUCACAGUUCAAGUUCAUUUUGAAGACUUUGAUUGAUCCGAGCGCUGAAGAGGAACAGGAAACGAGGAGUAGAGAGUGAGGGAGGACUUACAGCAAAGGAUCAUGGGAGUCCAACCAGCAACUGCUGCAACAAGGACUCCACCUUCUGAUCACAUGAACCUCUAAUCCAAACCAGUGCUCCAUCACAUUUGAUGUCUUGUCUGUUAUUUUACAUGGAGGGUCAGAGCAGACCAGAUCAUGAGCUCUGACAGACUGGAUCUGGUCCAAAGGUCUCCUGUUGGAGUUCUCUAAGCUCCAUAUUUUAAACCUGAACACCUGAAGUUUGAUUAUUAAUUAUUUUUAUCUUCAUUCUCUUUCCUUUUUUCAGAUUGUAUAAAUGCAGUUUGUCAGAGAUCAGCUGUUCUUCUCUGGCCUCAGCUCUGAAGUCCAACCCCUCCCAUCUGAGAUAUCUGGACCUGAGUCACAACAAGCUGCAGGAUUCAGGAGUGAAGCUUCUCUCUGCAGGACUGGAGAGUCCAAACUGUAAACUGGAGACUCUGAGGUGAGACACCAUUUCCUUCUGAUCUAACAAUAAGAUGUGACAGCUGCUGCCUUAGAUUUUUCUCUGUGGUUUUUCCAUCAACUUUGGUCGAGCAGUUUGAAUUUGUCGUUGUAAAACUUCAACACAGGAAGAAAAAUCCGACAUUUCAGAGUCGACUUUGAGUAGAACGAUGGAUGUAGAAAGGAAGCAGGAGAAAAUCAGUCCCACAAAUAUUACACAUGCUUGUAGAGGGCAGGAGCAGCACAGACUAAAGGCUGAUACUGAACUGAUCCACAGUUAAUGUGAUCACUAAUGAAUGAAGUGUCAGAGAAAUGAUGAGCUGCAGAUUGAAACCUGAAGAACAAAGUUAAUCCAACUCUGGAUAUUUCAUUUGGAAACUCUUGAAAACUUGAAUUUCUUCUUUGCUCAGUCGUGUUCAAAUGUAAAAACCAGAUCCAGAUUUGUCUGCAGUUUUCACUUCAGUUUGUUGAACAUGAACAUCAUCUUGUCCAGCUGGUCCAUAAAAACCUCUCUGAUCAAUGAUCUGUUGGUUUAUUUAAGAGUAGUUUGGCAGUUGUUGACAGCAGACGGACAGACCCCUGAAUAAACUCCUGACUAUUUUCAUCUUCAUGAAGAAUUCAGGACUACAAAAGAACCUUUGAGAUUUCUCACAGGAGUUUCUCAGGAUCUCACUAAAGUUUUCUGUUUCUGUAAAAUUUUCUCGACUGAUAAAUUCCUCUGGAUCUUCAAAAAGUUUAGAGAGGAUUUUACAAAGUUCCUGAAGAUCAACUCUGAAAAAGUUCUUCUUCCGUGUCCUUCAGGGUUCAAGAACAUUGAAUCAUUAAAAACAGGAACAGUUUCUUCAGAGGUUACAUGAUUUUUUUCUUUUUUCAGACUGUGACAGGUGUUUAUUAGUCUUUUUGACUCAUUACAAUAAUGAGGAUAAAGUCAUGGACUAAACUUGGGCUCCCAGUUUCCUUGUUGUUGUUUCUUCAGCUAGCAUCAUUGUUUUCAUCUCAGUUAUUAAAGUAAUAAUGAUGCUUCAUAAAUUCAGAGUCACAAAAAAACACCAAACAAACCAAAUCUGAAAAAAAUUCACUUCUUCAUCAAAUGAGUUUAAUCGGUCAGAACAUGAGGUUUGAGUUUUCAUGAGGAGGAAACGAGAAAGAUCUGCUCUGACAGUGAGAAACACAGACGCCUGAAUCUACACUGACAGACAGACAAACACAGACAGAGAGACAGACACACAAACACAGACACACAGAGAUUUUCCUCUUUGUCUCUUUGCUGUGAUGACUGAAGUCACAAAAACAAAGUUUUCUUCGUCACUUUUAUGAUUGAACCAAAGAAGUUAAAGAACCAAACUCUCAGAUUUUGUUCUUCUCAAUUUUAUUUGAACCAUUUAGAUUUUUCUCCUGAUCAAUAUUCAAUGAUCAGAUUGAUCAGGUUCCUGUUUUGGCUCCACUGCCUCUUUUCUGCAGCUCAAUAACUGCUCAUAUGGUUUGAAAGGUUCCUGCAGUAAAACCCGAUUAGAGAGUGGACUAAAUGAAAUGUGAGUGAACUCAGCCAUCAGUGAAUCAAUGACAAAGUGAGAGGAAGAGUGGAUCUGUCUGCUGUCUGACCUUGUUGAUCCUGAUGAAGGUGAGGGAGAAGAGUAAAGCAGUAAAGGUGAUGUUGUUGCAGACAGAGUCAGCUGACCUGUCUCAUCAGAGUCUCAUCCAUUCUCUGUUUAGCAGAGCGCUGAUGUUACAGUCUGAGAGCACAUUCAGGUUCAGCUUCACAUGGGCUGGAUCUGCUCAAUACAAACUCUUGAGACCAGCCUGGUUGAGGGAGGUGGGCUCAGUGUCCUGGGUGACUCUCUCUGAGCUCUUCUUGGUUGAGAGUCUUUCUGGUUUGUCUCUGACUUCCAUGAACUCAGAUCUGGAGGAUUGCUGGCUGGUCCGGUCCAGUUCUGACAGUAGAGACAACACAGUCAGUUAUUCUGGGUUGAGUGUUCUUGUUGAAGAUCAGUGUACAGUGAGGGAUGAAGGCAGACAAAGAUCCUCCUGUUUCCUCCAUGUCACAGUUCAAGUUCAUUUUGAAGACUUUGAUUGAUCCGAGCGCUGAAGAGGAACAGGAAACGAGGAGUAGAGAGUGAGGGAGGACUUACAGCAAAGGAUCAUGGGAGUCCAACCAGAAACUGCUGCAACAAGGACUCCACCUUCUGAUCACCUGAACCUCUAAUCCAAACCAGUGCUCCAUCACAUUUGAUGUCUUGUCUGUUAUUUUACAUGGAGGGUCAGAGCAGACCAGAUCAUGAGCUCUGACAGACUGGAUCUGGUCCAAAGGUCUCCUGUUGGAGUUCUCGAAGCUCCAUAUUUUAAUCCUGAACACCUGAAGUUUGAUUAUUAAUUAUUUUUAUCUUCAUUCUCUUUCCUUUUUUCAGAUUGUAUAAAUGCAGUUUGUCAGAGAUCAGCUGUUCUUCUCUGGCCUCAGCUCUGAAGUCCAACCCCUCCCAUCUGAGACAUCUGAACCUGAGAAACAACACUCUGCAGGAUUCAGGAGUGAAGCUUCUCUCUGCAGGACUGCAGAGACCAAACUGCAGACUGGAGACUCUGAAGUGAGACACCAUUUCCUUCUGAUCUAACAAUAAGAUGUGACAGCUGCUGCCUUAGAUUUUUCUCUGUGGUUUUUCCAUCAACUUUGGUCGAGCAGUUUGAAUUUGUCGUUGUAAAACUUCAACACAGGAAGAAAAAUCCGACAUUUCAGAGUUGACUUUGAGGAGAACGAUGGAUGUAGAAAGGAAGCAGGAGAAAAUCAGUCCCACAAAUAUUACACAUGCUUGUAGAGGGCAGGAGCAGCACAGACUAAAGGCUGAUAUUGAACUGAUCCACAGUUAAUGUGAUCACUAAUGAAUGAAGUGUCAGAGAAAUGAUGAGCUGCAGAUUGAAACCUGAAGAACAAAGUUAAUCCAACUCUGGAUAUUUCAUUUGGAAACUCUUGAAAACUUGAAUUUCUUCUUUGCUCAGUCGUGUUCAAAUGUAAAAACCAGAUCCAGAUUUGUCUGCAGUUUUCACUUCAGUUUGUUGAACAUUAACAUCAUCUUGUCCAGUUGGUCCAUAAAAACCUCUCUGAUCAAUGAUCUGUUGGUUUAUUUAAGAGUAGUUUGGCAGUUGUUGACAGCAGACGGACAGACCCCUGAAUAAACUCCUGACUGUUUUCAUCUUCAUGAAGAAUUCAGGACUACAAAAGAACCUUUGAGAUUUCUCACAGGAGUUUCUCAGGAUCUCACUAAAGUUUUCUGUUUCUUUAAAAUUUUCUCGACUGAUAAAUUCCUCUGGAUCUUCAAAAAGUUUAGAGAGGAUUUUACAAAGUUCCUGAAGAUCAACUCUGAAAAAGUUCUUCUUCCGUGUCCUUCAGGGUUCAAGAACAUUGAAUCAUUAAAAACAGGAACAGUUUCUUCAGAGGUUACAUGAUUUUUUUCUUUUUUCAGACUGUGACAGGUGUUUAUUAGUCUUUUUGACUCAUUACAAUAAUGAGGAUAAAGUCAUGGACUAAACUUGGGCUCCCAGUUUCCUUGUUGUUGUUUCUUCAGCUAGCAUCAUUGUUUUCAUCUCAGUUAUUAAAGUAAUAAUGAUGCUUCAUAAAUUCAGAGUCACAAAAAAACACCAAACAAACCAAAUCUGAAAAAAAUUCACUUUUUCAUCAAAUGAGUUGAAUCGGUCAGAACAUGAGGUUUGAGUUUUCAUGAGGAGGAAACGAGAAAGAUCUGCUCUGACAGUUAGAAACACAGACGCCUGAAUCUACACUGACAGACAGACAAACACAGACAGAGAGACAGACACACAAACACAGACACACAGAGAUUUUCCUCUUUGUCUCUUUGCUGUGAUGACUGAAGUCACAAAAACAAAGUUGUAUUCGUCACUUUUAUGAUUGAACCAAAUAAGUUAAAGAACCAAACUCAUAGAUUUUCUUCUUCUCAAUAUUAUUUGAACCAUUUUGAUUUUUCUUCUGAUCAAUAUUCAAUGAUCAGAUUGAUCAGGUUCCUGUUUUGGCUCCACUGCCUCUUUUCUGCAGCUCAAUAACUGCUCAUAUGGUUUGAAAGGUUCCUGCAGUAAAACCCGAUUAGAGAGUGGACUAAAUGAAAUGUGAGUGAACUCAGCCAUCAGUGAAUCAAUGACAAAGUGAGAGUAAGAGUGGAUCUGUCUGCUGUCUGACCUUGUUGAGCCUGAUGAAGGUGAGGGAGAAGAGUAAAGCAGUAAAGGUGAUGUUGUUGCAGACAGAGUCAGCUGACCUGUCUCAUCAGAGUCUCAUCCAUUCUCUGUUUGGCAGAGCACUGAUGUUAGAGUCUGAGAGCACAUUCAGGUUCAGCUUCACAUGGGCUGGAUCUGCUCAAUACAAACUCUUGAGACCAGCCUGGUUGAGGGAGGUGGGCUCAGUGUCCUGGGUGACUCUCUCUGAGCUCUUCUUGGUUGAGAGUCUUUCUGGUUUGUCUCUGACUUCCAUGAACUCAGAUCUGGAGGAUUGCUGGCUGGUCCGGUCCAGUUCUGACAGUAGAGACAACACAGUCAGUUAUUCUGGGUUGAGUGUUCUUGUUGAAGAUCAGUGUACAGUGAGGGAUGAAGGCAGACAAAGAUCCUCCUGUUUCCUCCAUGUCACACUUCAAGUUCAUUUUGAAGACUUUGAUUGAUCCGAGCGCUGAAGAGGAACAGGAAACGUGGAGUAGAGAGUGAGGGAGGACUUACAGCAAAGGAUCAUGGGAGUCCAACCAGCAACUGCUGCAACAAGGACUCCACCUUCUGAACACCUGAACCUCUAAUCCAAACCAGUGCUCCAUCACAUUUGAUGUCUUGUCUGUUAUUUUACAUGGAGGGUCAGAGCAGACCAGAUAAUGAGCUCUGACAGACUGGAUCUGGUCCAAAGGUCUCCUGUUGGAGUUCUCUAAGCUCCAUAUUUUAAACCUGAACACGUGAAGUUUGAUUAUUAAUUAUUUUUAUCUUCAUUCUCUUUCCUUUUUUCAGACUGAGGAGCUGCAGUUUGUCAGAGAUCAGCUGUUCUUCUCUGGCCUCAGCUCUGAAGUCCAACCCCGACCAUCUGAAACAUCUGGACCUGAGCAGAAACAAUCUGCAGGAUUCAGGAGUGAAGCUGCUGUGUGACUCUCUGCAGAGUCCAAACUGUAAACUGGAGACUCUAGAGUGAGACUUUUUUCCUCCAUUCAAACAUGAUCAUGAUUUGUUUGUGAUGAUGACACUAAACUGCUGACUCAGGACUGAAACACUGACCCAGACUGAACACCUUCAGUCCAGAGUAGAUUUUCUGCUUCAGUGGAUUAUUUGAUUGACUCCAGUUAGAUCACUGCUGAGCUCCAGUGAAUUAAAACCUGAACCCAAGAAGAAAACUCUUUGUAGAGUUCACAGUGAGAAGCACAUUCAGACAGAAAACAGAAGCAGGGGGAGAUUUGUCAGACGAGAACCAUUCAAACUUUAGUUCAGGACAAGAAAUGGAAAAAACUCAGAGUUUAGUUUCUGACUCUGAUGAAAGUCCAGCUCUGUUACUUUGAAUUUUGUUUUUGAAUCUUUGUGUGAAAAUCUGAAUUUUCUGGUUUAUCUGCACUUUUCUGAAGCCUUGCUGUGUUUAGACUGAAAUAUUUACCUCUCAAAGACGUGAUAUUUUUGGUUCAGCAAAGUGAAAAUAUUCUGAACAUCCUUUGUUUCCCAUCCGUCCUGAAGUCGCUGACAUUUUCUGAAAAUAUUGAGCUGCAUCUACAAUCAGUAAAAAAGUCUCUGAGUUUUUUAUUUCACUAUUUAAUGUGUUUUUGAAUUCAGUGUUUCAAACUGACUUCCUGUUUGGUUCAGCUCUUUGGAGCGUCACUUUUCUUUGAUUCAUACUUUCCAAACCUUUCCCCUGAACUCUACAGAUUUAAGACAUCAGGUUUCAAACUGGAUCAUUUUUCUCUAAAAUCUCAUUAUUUCCUCUUUAUUUAGGUUGUGGCGCUGCAGUUUGACGAAGAUCAGCUGUUCUUCUCUGGCCUCAGCUCUGAAGUCCAACCCCUCCCAUCUGAAAACUCUGUGGCUGUAUGGAAACAAUCUGCAGGGUUCAGACGUGGAGCUGCUGUGUGAUCUUCAGAAGAGUCCAGACUACAGACUGGAGGAUCUGGAGUCAGUAUAGAGUUGGAGUUAGUCUGUGCUGAUCUCUCCUGUUCCUCUCCACACAGUAUCACAGCAGAUAUUCAGUAUUUCCUGCUGACUCUUCGACCCUCUCAGAGGAUUAUCUCUUUAGUGAAGCUGUGAGAACAGAAAUCAUCAAACCAGGAGUGUAAGAGUGUCAGUGAUGAAAAAAGUGUCUCCUCGUCUCUAUAUUUCAGAUCAAAUGUAGAAAUGAGACAUAAUGAAACAGAAAUGUUCAGUUUCUGCUCUGAAGUCCAGUUUAUAGUUCUCUGUAUUCAACACAGACUUUAUUUCUCUGCUAACUUGUUGAUUUUGAGCUCUAAGUCUGAAAACAGACAGCUGUUCUUUAUACUUGUUAUUUUCACAGCAGGUUUGUUCGAUCAGCUUUAACACAUUUGACAGGAAUGAUUUCUUUAUUUUGAUGAUGUUGGUUUAUUUGUGAGGAAACCUGCUGCUUUACACCAUCACUUCUGGUCUGAGCAGGACUGAGACCUGCUGGUCUGUAAACUGGAUGUUCUUCAGUCCAGCUGAUGAAGUGAGUCUCAGAGUGGAAACACUGAACGUCUUUUUUUCUCUCCUCAGAUGGAGUUAACAUCUGUCAGAGUGAAUAAGAAGAGGAUCGUGUGUUUCCUGACGAUCAGAGAGGUGGAGGCAGCAGCAGUGAGGGUGAGGUGAGUCUCUGACUGAGAGACUGACUGACCAAUCACAGCGGGCGGAGAGGACUCUGGGAGCUGCACUUUGACCUGCUCUGAGAUCAGCUCAGGACCUGGACUCUGGAUAUUUGAUAUUUUCCCUCAUACUCUGGGAUCAAACAGUCUGAACAGGUUUGUUUUGUUGAUGGAAACAUGAUCAUAAAUUUACACUUUGAUUGGAUUACUUUGUUUUCACCAUGAUGCAGCGCCACCCAGUGGAAAUAUAAAGAGGUGGAGUUGAUUUAUUCCCUCAUAUUUCUGCAGCAGGAGUUGAUACCAUGUGUGAGAGUAGAUCAGUCAGAAGUUCAGAUUAAACCCAAAGGUUUUUUCUUUCCUUUGCACCGUUAGAGACCGAAUAUAAACUGAAGGGAGAGGAAGAGAAGUGAGGAGAGAUGGAGGUGAAGGGAGGAGGAGGAGGACAGGGUUUGGGGUUUUAACAAAAAUCUGAAGCUUUAUUCUUUCACUUGAUUAUUUUUAUUCAUCCGUUUUCUUCUUCAUUUUCUGAACUGAUUGUAAAUAUUGACUGGAGGUAAAUUGACCUUAUUUUAUAUUAUUAGACAUUAUUUUCCGUCUCUUUACAUGUUUUUGUUCUCAUAUCAUCUUUGUGCUCAUCAAUAAUCGAUUCCCUCCAGUUUGAACAAAUACAAUUAUUAAACCAUAAAUGAGACCUGAGAGUAAAAUUAAAAUGUGUGAAAUAUAAUCAGUCAAAGGAAAGAUUCUUAAACAAAAACAAAAUCAUUAUUUUUACUUUAUUAUGAUGGAGAAGUUUUCCUCUGACAGACAAAAAUAACCAUAUUGACCGGAGUCUGGAAAAAGUGAGAUCAGCAUCUAUUCAGGGUGAAGUCAUUAAUGUGGUCGAUGCUGUUUUAUAAACUCAGUGUUGUUGAUUACAAUCUCAGCUUCAUAAACUGAUGCUACAGUGGAGUGACUUCCUGUAAAAUCCACUGGCUUUGUGAGACCGUCAGCUUUCAGGAGAUCAGUUUGUGUUUCUGUGACACUCCAAAGCUUUUCUAUCCCACAGAAAAGAUCGGUGUGUUUUCAGAGACCUUCCUGAUCCCAUCCCUCCAAAAUAAAAAUAAUCUGAUGGUUUAUGGAUUCAUUUCAGUAACAAAGUGUCAUUUCUGUUGUUAGCCAAUCAGAGGCUGUAUCUGCCAUCAGCUGACCUGUAAAGGUCCAAUCAGAAGUCAGGACAGCUCAUGCCACAGUCUGAUCACACUACAGACACAUAAAACAUAGAACUAUUGUAAACAGAUUUGUCCUCUUCAGUUUAUCUACUAUCAAUAGAUCUGUGCUCUGUCUGUGUAACACUCUGUUGGUUCUUCAUUUACACCAGAUCAUUUUUUAUUUCAUUUCACUGUAACAAUGCCAUUUAAAGAUAAUAAAAACUUUAUUUGAACCAAAACAUGUUAAAAACGUCAACUCGGCUCGUUUCAUUCACUGUGUGCAAUUGAUUAUUAUUAUUUUUCAUUCAAACAGAAACUAGAUUUGGUCUUUAAAAAGUCCUCAAAGUGAGUCUGAAAAGUAGAGGAAGGUUUUAUCAUCAGGGUGCAGCACAGUUGUUUCCUGUGUUUUCAUUUGUGAUAUUCUCUCUAAGGUGUGUUAUUGUUCAUUUAAAGUAUGUGGAGGACAAAUCCACACAUCUAACAAAGAAGGUAAAAUAUAAAGAUAGGAGAUUUCUGCAUGACAUCAACGAUAUCCUGGAUUUAGUUUUCUAAGCAACAGGUGGUCGUCUUUUAUCGGGGGUACUUUGAUCCAGAAAUCUGAAAAGGGGUUACUAAAGCAAAAGAAGAAAAACCAGAGACUGUAUAUAGAAUGGACAGAGUCUGCCUCCUCGCUGGGUGAAGCCACUCUGAGAACAGCACCCUCUGUUGAUGGGCUGCAGUAUAGGUCAUAAAUCCCGCCUGCGCCAGCAAAGCUUAUGGAGCUGUGGACGAACUUUAGAAAUUUAUUACACAGAACAUAAUUUUUUCUCCCUCCUGGUUGUGAUGUUGACAUGUAGUUAUUGUCAGACUGGUUUGUGCUCAAGUCCUCUUUUUUCUGUGAAGCUCCAUUUUUAAAAGUUAUUAGGGGGUUCAUGUUUGCUAUGACGUUUCACAGCCAUAAGGAAUAACCAAUCGGAGCCUAGCACUUCUAGCCAAUCAGAUGCGAAGGAGGGUGGGACCUUCCCCUACCAUCCCACGAAAAAAAAAACCAAACACGUCCGGGUUUGCCGACCUUUAUUUCUGAGCCCCAGAUAACAGGACAGAGAUACCUAAAGCAUACAACGUGAACUUGUGUUAUCACAUCAACAUAUUUGGCUCCUACACUGAAUAUAAUGUUGGACAGUGAUCUUUGUAAAGUGAGGUGAAGGAGGAGUUUGUGUAGUGACAACACAAUCACACUGUGUGCAAAAAUAAAAACCUGUUCAACCAAAUCUUCACAUUUAGUUGGGGUAUGAGAAGAGGAGUGCUCAUCUGAAGUUUGUUGGUUUGACCAGCAGGUGGAGCUGCUGCAUUAACAAUAAACUGAGACUCAACCAAACAAACAAGUUCCUGUUUUAGUGAACUUUGAAUUUGGACUCAGGAGAGGAAGAUGGUUGUCAAGAAUACUGAACUUAAAGGAUGAUCAAUAACGGUCAGUAAAUGAGGAGAAGAAUCUGUGAUCUGGUGGUUUAGGUUUCAGUGAAAACAGUCAGAGUGAAAGUGAAAGUAUGUGAGCUGAAAAACAGACUCCAUUUUGAGAAAAGAAGAGAGAGGAGAGGACGAGGAGACAGGGUGAGUGUUUACUCUGUUUUAGUUUUAAUGUCAAACUCUUUAUCUGUUUUAUCUGUUAAUGAAAAAAUGAUUUACUGACUAAAACACUUAAAAACUGUAAAACAAAGAAACCUGAGCAGACAAAGAGCUGGAUCAGUUCUUCAUACAGGAAACUGUGUACGUGCAGUUCUUCCUCCUCUUUGUUUAGACUUGUCUUUUUGGUAAAAAUAUUAAUCAGAAUCUUUUUAGCGUCUCAUUUCAACUUUAAUCCAGUCUCCUUAAGUUUUUAUGAGAGUUCAGGGACCUCACAGCUGAUUUUGUUUUGACCAUGAAUCAGACAAGGAUCAGAGAGAGGCCCUGCAGGGUGGGGAGACAUCAGAAGUUCUUGGAUAUUAAACCUGUAUAACUCUUAAAGAGGGGGAUGAAGCUGUUUUUAGACUCUGUACUUCCUUUCUGAUUCCUCUUUUAUUUCUGAACUCUCUCUUCCUGUUUGUAUCUCACCUGUUUGUCUUCUUUGUCCUCAGGUUGUAUAACUCGGUUUCAGCCUCCAUAAAUUUGCACAACAGAAGAUGGAGAAGAUGAGUGUUGGUGUCGAGGAAGAGGAGGGCAGAGCAGAGUCUGAUAUGUUUGACUGUCUGUCUAUGAAGAGUGACCAGUCUAAAGGUUUUGAUAUAAACUUCAGUAAAGAACCAGGACCCCCAGAGGAGGACAGAACAAAGUCUGUUAUCUCCAGCUGUCUGUCUAUGAAGAGUGACCGGUCUAAAGAUCCUCCACCAAAAUUCAGUGAAGAACCAGGACCCUCAGAUUCACAGUAAGAGAAACACUUUUCAAUCACCAAACUCUCAAACAACAACAAUUGACGUUUCAAAUACAAAACUUUAAAUCCUGACCCCUCUGUUUUCUCCUCUGUUCUCAAAACACUGAUUUUCCUCUUAAACCUGCCAACCUGGAUAAAAUUCAAUUCAAUUCAACUUUAUUUAUAAAGCCCAUUUCAUGUACAAGGCAGACUCAAUGUUCUUCACAACAGGUGUACAUAGUUAAAAACAGUUAUACAAAAAUCAAUUAGAAAUCAAUGUAAGAGUGUAAGUGCAAGUCAACUUCACUGCAUGCACACUUAAACUCGUACAUGCGCACGCACUCACACAUGGACACGUGCACACGUACACACAUACACACACAGUUUAAAAGAAUGCUAUAGAAAUCUGUUUUUAAAGAUGGCUACUGAUGUGUCUAACUGUGUCAGGCAUGGUGUUCCAUUUUUGUGGGGCAUAAACACUCAAAGCUGCCUCCCCUCAUUUGGAUCUGGUGUGAGGGAUGAGUAAGUUGCCACUGCCUGUUGACCGAAGUGUUCUUGCUGAGGUGUAGGUGAUGAGCAUAUCUGUGAUGUACUGAGGUGCAAGGCCAUGUAGUGCUUUGUAAACCAGGAGGAGUAUUUUGAAAUCGAUUCUUGUCCUAACGGGUAACCAAUGUACAGAUUUGAGAACGGGUGUGAUGUGUUGAUAUUUUUUGGUACCAGUGAGAAUACAUGCAGCUGCAUUUUGAAUUAACUGUAACCUCUGAAGACUUGAUUUUGGGAGUCCAGUGAAUAAACCGUUAUCCAGUAGUAAUCCAGUCUACUUCUUAUAAAUGCAUGGAUGAAUUUUUCUAAGUCUGAUUUUGACAGAAAGCCCCUCAAUUUGGAGAUAUUUUUGAGAUGAUAGAAAGAUGAUCUUGAAUUGAAUCUUGUAAUGGAUAAAAGGCUGGUAAAGAAAAACUCACUGAGCACAGAUUUACUUAUUAUUGUUGAUGUUUAUAAAAAUGAAAGUCGUUUAAAACAGCAUUUGAAAAGGAUUCUGACUUCUUGUAUUUUCUGAUUUGGUUCCUGUGUUUGGGACGUUUUGAGCCUGUUAGUCUUUGGACUGUGGUCUGUAGACCCCAGAAAACAGUCUGUGGGUCACAAAAUACCAGAAGACCAAUGAAGAAAUAAAUCCUGAGAAAUAAAAACUCAUUCAGAGCAUCUGUCUGUUAUUAGACCUUUAGAUCUGAUCGGUGGAAAAAAAAGUUUUAAACUGUCAGAGAAAAUCUCUCUACCUUCAAAAUCACUUUAGUUUUUUCUCUUGUCACGACACUUCAGGCAGCAGCAGCUGAAUAUUUUACAGGAGAUUGUUUUAUGUUAGAGAAAAGAGAAACUCUGGUUUAAUAAAUGUUUCUUAUUCUGUAUCUUUCAAACAUGAAAUAAUAAAGAAAAUAAAUGUUCUUUAUUUCCACAGAGAGACACAGAGAUGUGACUCUGUGGAGGAGCAGCUGUCCAGAUGUUCUUUAUGUCAGGACGUCCUGAAGGAUCCAGUCUCUACCCGCUGUGGACACCAGUCUACUUCUUCAGGAUACACCUCCUGUCCCCAGUGUGGAAAAAGAACCAGAACAGUUCUUGUCUUUCAGACAGACAGCCAGUCCAGCUCUGAUCGAAGUAAGUCUGAACACCUUUAAACCCUAAAUUAUACAAUUUCUGCCAGAAUUAUUUUGCUUAUUUUAGCCAUAAAAUUGGCAGAAAAUGUCCUAUGAGUGAGUGCUUUUUUAUUCAUUGGCUUUCAACCCUGCAUGAGACUCGGCUCCUGUUUUAGUGUUUUAUGUUUUUUUUUUUUUUUUUUUUUUAUGUCUAUGCUUUUUUGUCUAUUUAUAUACAGCACUUUGGUUGGCUGUGGUUGUUUUAAAGUGCUUUACAAAUAAAGUUGAGUUUUACCCAUUUUUCCAGAACACUUCAAACUUUCAAUAUCUGGCUGUCAUUUACGAUUUACUGCCUGUUAAAAGAGUGCUAUAACAUUUUAAGAUAAAGAAAAACACAAAAACGGAAUACGAUUUUUUGAGUUUUAAUGAGAAAAAACAGAAAAUAUUCAUGAAAAACAGAUUUUUCAUUUGAAAUAAAAAAAAAUUAAAGAGUAUCAAACAUAUUUACAACAAAAACUUUGGAGUGCUGUCUCUCCAAGUGCAAAAACAGGCUAAAUAAAUACAACUAUGUCCACGCGUUUCUCCUCGUUUCUCCUCUCUCACUCAGAGGUCUUUGUGAAACUGUCAGAAGCUGUUCCUUUCUGUCUGCGGACACAGACCCACAUCACACCACUCACACUUCCAGGCAGUUCUCCUUAUGACAAAGUUUGCAGCGUCGUCUCCUCAUGCUAGUUCUUUGAGACUUCAUCUGUCCAUGGCUUGUUUGGGCACGUAGCUAUACUCUACUAUAAGCGAAGUGGAUGUAAUUCUCGGCGGGCAUGUGUUUCUCGGUACAACAUCAACGGUUGCAAAAUGAGAAAACGACGAGAAAACCGCCGAAGAUGAAGACUUGGUGGUAAGAAGAAAAGCAACGUCACUAACCUUUGAAGAUGAAGACUCGUUGAUUAAAAGAACGUCACUAACCAUAGAAGAUGAAGACUCGUUGAUUAAAAGAAAAGCAACGUCACUAACCAUUGUAGAUGAAUAUUCGUUGAUUAAAAGAAAAGCCACGUCACUUAUCUGUAAUUAUUUCGGUUACAAAAAGGAUGACGUCACCUAACACCUGUUCUGUGACGGCAGUGUCUUUCAUCUGUUUCCACAAUAACGUCCCAGCAGAACAAUAAAAACUAAAAAUAUCUCUAAGACAGACAGAAGCCAUUCUACUAACAUUCACUAAAAGAGGGAAGAUCAGUGCAGGUUAACUGUCCUCAAGAUUUCAGCAGAAAGUCAGAUUCAGAUCAUCUGCUAAAAAUUCCUCUAUUUUUUAAUAACGCUUAUAUAUCACAGGGUUGAACAACUUUGCAAUGUUAGUGUUUUCUAAUAUCAUGCUGUCUUAAUAGGCACACGUUACUACAAACUCACUGCCUUAGCAUGGUAUUCUAAUAAAGUCACAACAGGUUAUAAGUGUUGAUUUACUCAUAAAAUAACGUAAAUAAAUUAAAAACGACACAGAGAGCGCUUCAUUCAUCCAGAAACCAACACAGAAAACCAACCAGUCAAACUUUACCUUUCUCUGUCUGAAGUUGCUCUGAAAGCUUCUCCAUCUGUCCCAAAGUCGUCUGUAAACCUCAGUGGAGGUUUUCUCACUUGGGAGAGUUUAUCACAGACAUUUUCCUUUGAAAUAAUCCCUUUUUUGUCACUUUUCUCUCUUUUUGCUCCGUUUCUCUGCUCUGUUGUGUGUCUAUCCGCUGCUCCCUUUGAGAGGGGGAGAGGGGACGAGGAGACAGAUUUUCUCACUUCCCCAAACAGCAGGAGUGAAAUUACCGUAAUAACCGUUUAUUGACCGUGUGGCGCAACUUCUCAGCUUUCAGAAACCGUUGGAGAUUUUUUUUUGAUAGAACAAACUACCGCAAAGUUACGGUAAUUUAAAGAGCGCCUGUAUAAAGGUGUCGGCGCCGACGGACUGUGAGGAAAAGUCUGUGUGGAUGAAAACUCAGCUGACUGAUUUUCACAAAGACGUUUCAGUGUUGAGAAGUUUGGUUCAUUUUAUUUUUCUUCUCUUUCAGAUGAUGGCCUCCCGCAGGAGGUUUUAGAUGAACAUAAGAUCAGUCUGAAGAGGAGAUGUGAACGUGUGAAUGAAGGAAGUGAUGAAACAGGAAGUAGUCAAACCCUCCUCAACAGGAUCUUCACUGAGCUCUACAUCACAGAGGGACUGAGUGAAGAGGUGAACACCCAACAUGAGGUGAGACAGCUGGAGACUACUUCAAAGAUGAAGACCCUCCAUGACAUGCCCAUCAGGUGUCAUGAGAUCUUUAAAACCUUACCUGACCAACAGAAGAAGCUCAUCAGAGUGGUUCUGACCAACGGCGUGGCUGGUGUUGGAAAAACCUUCUCAGUGCAGAAGUUCACUCUGGACUGGGCAGAGGGUUUGGAGAACCAAGACCUCCAUCUGGUGGUCCUGCUUUCAUUCAGGGAGCUGAACCUGAUCAGAGAUGAGCGCUUCAGUCUUCUGAGUCUGCUCCAUGUUUUCCAUCCAACCCUAGAGAAGGUCACAGCAGAGACGCUGGCUGUCUGUAAACUUCUGUUCAUCUUUGACGGUCUGGAUGAAAGCAGACUGUCUCUGGAUUUCACAGACUCUGAGGUGGUGUCUGACGUCACACAGAAGUCUUCACUCAACGUUCUGAUAACAAACCUCGUCAAGGGGAACCUGCUCCCCUCAGCUCUCAUCUGGAUAACUUCUCGACCUGCAGCAGCCAAUCAGAUCCCUCCUUCACAUGUGGACAGGAUAACAGAAGUACGAGGCUUCACUGACGCCCAGAAGGAGGAGUACUUCAGGAAGAGGUUCAGAGAUGAAGAUCUGUCCAGAAGAAUCAUCCAACACAUCAAGUCCUCCAGGAGCCUCCACAUCAUGUGUCAGAUCCCGGUCUUCUGCUGGAUCACUGCGACAGUUCUGGAGGACAUGAUGAGAAGAAAGCAGAGAGGAGAGCUGCCCAAGACCCUGACUGACAUGUACUCACACUUCCUGCUGGUCCAGACUCAGAGGAAGAAGCAGAAGUAUGAAGGAGGACAUGAGACAAGUCCUCAGGAGCUGAUGGAUGCUGACAGUGACGUCCUCCUGAAGCUGGGGAGGCUGGCAUUGGAACAUCUGAACAGUGGAAACAUCAUGUUCUACCAAGAAGACCUGGAGCGGUGUGGUCUGGAUGUCUCAGAGGCCUCAGUGUACUCAGGAGUUUGUACAGAGAUCUUCAGAAGAGAGAGUGUGAUCUUCCAGAAAACUGUUUACUGUUUCGUUCAUCUGAGCGUUCAGGAGUUUCUGUCUGCAGUCUACAUGAUCCACAGUUUCACAACCAGGAACACAGAAGCUCUGAAGACUUUCCUAAGAAGCAACGAUGAUGAAGAUAAAAUGUCUUCUUCAGAGAUGGUUGACAGAUUUUUUCAAAACCUGGAUUAUUUUUUCUCAUCUCAGGAUGUCUUCCUGAAGAGUGUCAUGAUGAAAUCCCUUGUCAGUAAAAACGGUCACCUGGACCUGUUUGUUCGCUUCCUUCAUGGACUCUCUGUGGCGUCAAACCAGAGACUCUUAGGAGGUCUGCUGGGUCACACAGACAACAGUCCAGAAAUGAUCCAAACAGUCAUCAAGAACCUGAAGGAGAUGAACAGAGAAGAUAUCUCUCCUGACAGAAGCAUCAACAUCUUCCACUGUCUGAUGGAGAUGAACGAUCUGUCAGUUCAUCAGGAGAUUCAAGAGCUCCUGAAGUCAGGGAACAAAUCAGAGAAGAAACUCUCAGUGUUCCAGUGCUCUGCUCUGGCCUACAUGCUGCAGAUGUCAGAGGAGGUUCUGGAGGAGUUGGACUUAAAGAAUUAUAAAACAUCAGACCAGGGACGACGGAGACUGAUCCCAGCUGUGAGGAACUGCAGAAAGGCUGUGUGAGUCCAGGUUUUAUUCUCAGAAUAGUGUAAAUGAUCCCUGUAGUUCUUCUAAUGUCCACGUUACUGAUGAUGUUCUUCUUCAAAUAGAAAUCCACUCAAAUAUCAGGGAGGGGGUUUCUUCAGCAAAAACAUGAUCCUGGUGUCUAAAGUCCUGUUAGUCCAGGAUGAGGUCUACCCGUGGACCCCUGAGAACUUGUCCUAAUUGUGGAGGACCUCUUUGUUUUGAAUCGUGUCUGUAAUGAAUAAAGUGGAACUUUGAGGACAAAUCAGCGACCAUAUCUGAGGACACACAGAGGUCUUCUGAUGAUGGUAUCAGUCCAGAUCAACAUCUCAGUCAGUUGUGGUGAACUUGAGUUUGAAGAAGGUGUCUGCAGCUUCUUCCUGCUGGUUUUCAGGUUGGAAAUGAUGAAUCAGUUGUAAAUGAGGGUGUUGACAGCAUUGAUGGUGAAAAUAGAACUGGAUCAUUUUCUACACAGUGGCAGAACUGUCUUCAAAGAAAUGUUUUUAUCUGAACCAAACAGAGAAACAGGAGCUGCUGUGAUUUAGUGAGUCGUCUUCUGAUUGGUCAACAGUCAGUGCCUUACAUUAUAGCAGGAUGUCAACACUAAACACUGAGAGGAGCAUAAGUCAUGGAGUCAUUUGUCUUGAACAUCUAAACAGUUUUUUUUUUCUUCUAAACUUGGACUUCCUGUCUUCUCUCAUGGCUGUGGUCCUGAUAUUAGUAUCUGUCUGGUUAGAAACAGGCCGUCUGUCAAACCAAAGAUCAUGUUUGAGUUGUUUUUGGGGAAGAGAAACAUCAAAUAACCCUUUAAUAAAAUAUUGUUUGAUAUUUAUGUUGUUACAGAUUUUCUCUCUGUGGACUCUCAAAGACUCACUGUGAAGUUGUGGCCUCAGCUCUGAAGUCCAACCCCUCCCAUCUGAGACAUCUGGACCUGAGUAACAACGAGCUGAAGGAUUCAGGAGUGAAGCUUCUCUCUGCAGGACUGGAGAGUCCAAACUGCAGACUGGAGACUCUGAUGUGAGACACCAUUUCCUUCUGAUCUAACAAUAAGAUGUGACAGCUGCUGCCUUAGAUUUUUCUCUGUGGUUUUUCCAUCAACUUUGGUCGAGCAGUUUGAAUUUGUCGUUGUAAAACUUCGACACAGGAAGAAAAAUCUGACAUUUCAGAGUUGACUUUGAGGAGAACGAUGGAUGUAGAAAGGAAGCAGGAGAAAAUCAGUCCCACAAAUAUUACACAUGCUUGUAGAGGGCAGGAGCAGCACAGACUAAAGGCUGAUACUGAACUGAUCCACAGUUAAUGUGAUCACCAAUGAAUGAAUGAAGUGUCAGAGAAAUGAUGAGCUGCAGAUUGAAACCUGAAGAACAAAGUUAAUCCAACUCUGGAUAUUUCAUUUGGAAACUCUUGAAAACUUGAAUUUCUUCUUUGCUCAGUCGUGUUCAAAUGUAAAAACCAGAUCCAGAUUUGUCUGCAGUUUUCACUUCAGUUUGUUGAACAUGAACAUCAUCUUGUCCAGCUGGUCCAUAAAAACCUCUCUGAUCAAUGAUCUGUUGGUUUAUUUAAGAGUAGUUUGGCAGUUGUUGACAGCAGACGGACAGACCCCUGAAUAAACUCCUGACUGUUUUCAUCUUCAUGAAGAAUUCAGGACUACAAAAGAACCUUUGAGAUUUCUCACAGGAGUUUCUCAGGAUCUCACUAAAGUUUUCUGUUUCUGUAAAAUUUUCUUGACUGAUAAAUUCCUCUGGAUCUUCAAAAAGUUUAGAGAAGAUUUUACAAAGUUCCUGAAGAUCAACUCUGAAAAAGUUCUUCUUCCGUGUCCUUCAGGGUUCAAGAACAUUGAAUCAUUAAAAACAGGAACAGUUUCUUCAGAGGUUACAUGAUUUUUUUCUUUUUUCAGACUGUGACAGGUGUUUAUUAGUCUUUUUGACACGUUACAAUAAUGAGGAUAAAGUCAUGGACUAAACUUGGGCUCCCAGUUUCCUUGUUGUUGUUUCUUCAGCUAGCAUCAUUGUUUUCAUCACAGUUCUUAAAGUAAUAAUGAUGCUUCAUAAAUUCAGAGUCACAAAAAAACACCAAACAAACCAAAUCUGAAAAAAAUCCACUUUUUCAUCAAAUGAGUUUAAUCGGUCAGAACAUGAGGUUUGAGUUUUCAUGAGGAGGAAACGAGAAAGAUCUGCUCUGACAGUGAGAAACACAGACGCCUGAAUCUACACUGACAGACACACAAAUACAGACAGAGAGACACAGACAGAGAGACACAGACACAGACACACAAAUACAGACACACAGAGACACAGACACACAAACAGACUAACAGAGAUUUUCUUCUUCGUCUCUUUGCUGUGAUGACUGAAGUCACAAAAACAAAGUUUUCUUCGUCACUUUUAUGAUUGAACCAAAUAAGUUAAAGAACCAAACUCUCAGAUUUUCUUCUUCUCAAUAUUAUUUGAACCAUUUAGAUUUUUCUCCUGAUCAAUAUUCAAUGAUCAGAUUGAUCAGGUUCCUGUUUUGGCUCCACUGCCUCUUUUCUGCAGCUCAAUAACUGCUCAUAUGGUUUGAAAGGUUCCUGCAGUAAAACCCGAUUAGAGAGUGGACUAAAUGAAAUGUGAGUGAACUCAGCCAUCAGUGAAUCAAUGACAAAGUGAGAGGAAGAGUGGAUCUGUCUGCUGUCUGACCUUGUUGAUCCUGAUGAAGGUGAGGGAGAAGAGUAAAGCAGUAAAGGUGAUGUUGUUGCAGACAGAGUCAGCUGACCUGUCUCAUCAGAGUCUCAUCCAUUCUCUGUUUGGCAGAGCGCUGAUGUUACAGUCUGAGAGCACAUUCAGGUUCAGCUUCACAUGGGCUGGAUCUGCUCAAUACAAACUCUUGAGACCAGCCUGGUUGAGGGAGGUGGGCUCAGUGUCCUGGGUGACUCUCUCUGAGCUCUUCUUGGUUGAGAGUAUUUCUGGUUUGUCUCUGACUUCCAUGAACUCAGAUCUGGAGGAUUGCUGGCUGGUCCGGUCCAGUUCUGACAGUAGAGACAACACAGUCUGUUAUUCUGGGUUGAGUGUUCUUGUUGAAGAUCAGUGUACAGUGAGGGAUGAAGGCAGACAAAGAUCCUCCUGUUUCCUCCAUGUCACAGUUCAAGUUCAUUUUGAAGACUUUGAUUGAUACGAGCGCUGAAGAGGAACAGGAAACGUGGAGUAGAGAGUGAGGGAGGACUUACAGCAAAGGAUCAUGGGAGUCCAACCAGCAACUGCUGCAACAAGGACUCCACCUUCUGAUCAUCUGAACCUCUAAUCCAAACCAGUGCUCCAUCACAUUUGAUGUCUUGUCUGUUAUUUUACAUGGAGGGUCAGAGCAGACCAGAUCAUGAGCUCUGACAGACUGGAUCUGGUCCAAAGGUCUCCUGUUGGAGUUCUCUAAGCUCCAUAUUUUAAUCCUGAACACCUGAAGUUUGAUUAUUAAUUAUUUUUAUCUUCAUUCUCUUUCCUUUUUUCAGAUUGUAUAAAUGCAGUUUGUCAGAGAUCAGCUGUUCUUCUCUGGCCUCAGCUCUGAAGUCCAACCCCUCCCAUCUGAGAUAUCUGGACCUGAGUUACAACAAUCUGCAGGAUUCAGGAAUGAAGCUGCUGUGUGACUCUCUGCAGAGUCCAAACUGUAAACUGGAGACUCUGAGGUGAGACACCAUUUCCUUCUGAUCUAACAAUAAGAUGUGACAGCUGCUGCCUUAGAUUUUUCUCUGUGGUUUUUCCAUCAACUUUGGUCGAGCAGUUUGAAUUUGUCGUUGUAAAACUUCAACACAGGAAGAAAAAUCCGACAUUUCAGAGUCGACUUUGAGGAGAACGAUGGAUGUAGAAAGGAAGCAGGAGAAAAUCAGUCCACAAAUAUUACACAUGCUUGUAGAGGGCAGGAGCAGCACAGACUAAAGGCUGAUACUGAACUGAUCCACAGUUAAUGUGAUCACUAAUGAAUGAAUGAAGUGUCAGAGAAAUGAUGAGCUGCAGAUUGAAACCUGAAGAACAAAGUUAAUCCAACUCUGGAUAUUUCAUUUGGAAACUCUUGAAAACUUGAAUUUCUUCUUUGCUCAGUCGUGUUCAAAUGUAAAAACCAGAUCCAGAUUUUUCUGCAGUUUUCACUUCAGUUUGUUGAACAUGAACAUCAUCUUGUCCAGUUGGUCCAUAAAAACCUCUCUGAUCAAUGAUCUGUUGGUUUAUUUAAGAGUAGUUUGGCAGUUGUUGACAGCAGACGGACAGACCCCCUGAAUAAACUCCUGACUAUUUUCAUCUUCAUGAAGAAUUCAGGACUACAAAAAAACCUUUGAGAUUUCUCACAGGAGUUUCUCAGGAUCUCACUAAAGUUUUCUGUUUCUGUAAAAUUUUCUUGACUGAUAAAUUCCUCUGGAUCUUCAAAAAGUUUAGAGAGGAUUUUACAAAGUUCCUGAAGAUCAACUCUGAAAAAGUUCUUCUUCCGUGUUCCUUCAGGGUUCAAGAACAUUGAAUCAUUAAAAACAGGAACAGUUUCUUCAGAGGUUACAUGAUUUUUUUCUUUUUUCAGACUGUGACAGGUGUUUAUUAGUCUUUUUGACACGUUACAAUAAUGAGGAUAAAGUCAUGGACUAAACUUGGGCUCCCAGUUUCCUUGUUGUUGUUUCUUCAGCUAGCAUCAUUGUUUUCAUCUCAGUUAUUAAAGUAAUAAUGAUGCUUCAUAAAUUCAGAGUCACAAAAAAACACCAAACAAACCAAAUCUGAAAAAAAUCCACUUUUUCAUCAAAUGAGUUUAAUCGGUCAGAACAUGAGGUUUGAGUUUUCAUGAGGAGGAAACGAGAAAGAUCUGCUCUGACAGUGAGAAACACAGACGCCUGAAUCUACACUGACAGACACACAAAUACAGACAGAGAGACACAGACAGAGAGACACAGACACAGACACAGACACACAAAUACAGACACACAGAGAGACAGACACACAAACACAGACUAACAGAGAUGUUCCUCUCUGUCUCUUUGCUGUGAUGACUGAAGUCACAAAAACAAAGUUUUCUUCGUCACGUUUAUGAUUGAACCAAAUAAGUUAAAGAACCAAACUCUCAGAUUUUCUUCUUCUCAAUAUUAUUUGAACCAUUUUGAUUUUUCUCCUGAUCAAUAUUCAAUGAUCAGAUUGAUUAGGUUCCUGUUUUGGCUCCACUGCCUCUUUUCUGCAGCUCAAUAACUGCUCAUAUGGUUUGAAAGGUUCCUGCAGUAAAACCCGAUUAGAGAGUGGACUAAAUGAAAUGUGAGUGAACUCAGCCAUCAGUGAAUCAAUGACAAAGUGAGAGGAAGAGUGGAUCUGUCUGCUGUCUGACCUUGUUGAGCCUGAUGAAGGUGAGGGAGAAGAGUAAAGCAGUAAAGGUGAUGUUGUUGCAGACAGAGUCAGCUGACCUGUCUCAUCAGAGUCUCAUCCAUUCUCUGUUUGGCAGAGCACUGAUGUUACAGUCUGAGAGCACAUUCAGGUUCAGCUUCACAUGGGCUGGAUCUGCUCAAUACAAACUCUUGAGACCAGCCUGGUUGAGGGAGGUGGGCUCAGUGUCCUGGGUGACUCUCUCUGAGCUCUUCUUGGUUGAGAGUAUUUCUGGUUUGUCUCUGACUUCCAUGAACUCAGAUCUGGAGGAUUGCUGGCUGGUCCGGUCCAGUUCUGACAGUAGAGACAACACAGUCAGUUAUUCUGGGUUGAGUGUUCUUGUUGAAGAUCAGUGUACAGUGAGGGAUGAAGGCAGACAAAGAUCCUCCUGUUUCCUCCAUGUCACAGUUCAAGUUCAUUUUGAAGACUUUGAUUGAUCCGAGCGCUGAAGAGGAACAGGAAACGUGGAGUAGAGAGUGAGGGAGGACUUACAGCAAAGGAUCAUGGGAGUCCAACCAGCAACUGCUGCAACAACGACUCCACCUUCUGAUCAUCUGAACCUCUAAUCCAAACCAGUGCUCCAUCACAUUUGAUGUCUUGUCUGUUAUUUUACAUGGAGGGUCAGAGCAGACCAGAUCAUGAGCUCUGACAGACUGGAUCUGGUCCAAAGGUCUCCUGUUGGAGUUCUCUAAGCUCCAUAUUUUAAACCUGAACACCUGAAGUUUGAUUAUUAAUUAUUUUUAUCUUCAUUCUCUUUCCUUUUUUCAGAUUGUAUAAAUGCAGUUUGUCAGAGAUCAGCUGUUCUUCUCUGGCCUCAGCUCUGAAGUCCAACCCCUCCCAUCUGAAACAUCUGGACCUGAGUUACAACAAGCUGCAGGAUUCAGGAGUGAAGCUUCUGUGUGAAUUUGUGCAGAGUCCAAACUGUAAACUGGAGACUCUGAAGUGAGACUUUUUCCCUCCAUUCAAACAUGAUCAUGAUUUGUUUGUGAUGAUGACACUAAACUGCUGACUCAGGACUGAAAUACUGACCCAGACUGAACACCUUCAGUCCAGAGUAGAUUUUCUUCAUCAGUGGAUUAUUUGAUUGACUCCAGUUAGAUCACUGCUGAGCUCCAGUGAAUUAAAACCUGAACCCAAGAAGAAAACUCUUUGUAGAGUUCACAGUGAGAAGCUCAUUCAGACAGAAAACAGAAGCAGGGGGAGAUUUGUCAGAUGAGAACCAUUCAAACUUUUGUUCAGGACAAGAUCAGGGAAUAGAAAAAACUCAGAGUUUAGUUUCUGACACUGAUGAAAGUCCAGCUCUGUUACUUUGAAUUUUGUUUUUGAAUCUUUGUGUGAAAAUCUGAAUUUUCUGGUUUAUCUGCACUUUUCUGAAGCCUUACUGUGUUUAGACUGAAAUAUUUACCUCUCAAAGACGUGAAAUUUUUGGUUCAGCAAAGUGAAAAUAUUCUGAACAUCCUUUGUUUCCCAUCCGUCCUGAAGUCACUGACAUUUUCUGAAAAUAUUGAGCUGCAUCUACAAUCAGUAAAAAAGUCUCUGAGUUUUUUAUUUCACUAUUUAAUGUGUUUUUGAAUUCACUGUUUCAAACUGACUUCCUGUUUGGUUCAGCUCUUUGGAGCGUCACUUUUCUCUGAUUUAUACUUUCCAAACCUUUCCCCUGAACUCUACAGAUUUAAGACAUCAGGUUUCAAACUGGAUCAUUUUUCUCUAAAAUCUCAUUAUUUCCUCUUUAUUUAGGUUAAUGAGCUGCAGUUUGACGAAGAUCAGCUGUUCUUCUCUGGCCUCAGCUCUGAAGUCCAACCCCUCCCAUCUGAAAACUCUGUGGCUGUAUGGAAACAAUCUGCAGGGUUCAGACAUGAAGCUGCUGUGUGAUCUUCAGAAGAGUCCUGACUACAGACUGAGGACUCUGAAGUCAGUAUAGAGUUGGAGUUAGUCUGUGCUGAUCUCUCCUGUUCCUCUCCACACAGUAUCACAGCAGAUAUUCAGUAUUUCCUGCUGACUCUUCGACCCUCUCAGAGGAUUAUCUCUUUAGUGAAGCUGUGAGAACAGAAAUCAUCAAACCAGGAGUGUAAGAGUGUCAGUGAUGAAAAAAGUGUCUCCUCGUCUCUAUAUUUCAGAUCAAAUGUAGAAAUGAGACAUAAUGAAACAGAAAUGUUCAGUUUCUGCUCUGAAGUCCAGUUUAUAGUUCUCUGUAUUCAACACAGACUUUAUUUCUCUGCUAACUUGUUGAUUUUGAGCUCUAAGUCUGAAAACAGACAGCUGUUCUUUAUACUUGUUAUUUUCACAGCAGGUUUGUUCGAUCAGCUUUAACACAUUUGACAGGAAUGAUUUCUUUAUUUUGAUGAUGUUGGUUUAUUUGUGAGGAAACCUGCUGCUUUACACCAUCACUUCUGGUCUGAGCAGGACUGAGACCUGCUGGUCUGUAAACUGGAUGUUCUUCAGUCCAGCUGAUGAAGUGAGUCUCAGAGUGGAAACACUGAUCGUCUUUUUUUCUCUCCUCAGAUGGAGUUAACAUCUGUCAGAGUGAUUAAGAAGAGGAUCAUGUGUUUCCUGACGAUCAGAGAGGUGGAGGCAGCAGCAGUGAGGGUGAGGUGAGUCUCUGACUGAGAGACUGACUGACCAAUCACAGCGGGCGGAGAGGACUCUGGGAGCUGCACUUUGACCUGCUCUGAGAUCAGCUCAGGACCUGGACUCUGGAUAUUUGAUAUUUUCCCUCAUAUUCUGGGAUCAAACAGUCUGAACAGGUUUGUUUUGUUGAUGGAAACAUGAUCAUAAAUUUACACUUUGAUUGGAUUACUUUGUUUUCACCAUGAUGCAGCGCCACCCAGUGGAAAUAUAAAGAGGUGGAGUUGAUUUAUUCCCUCAUAUUUCUGCAGCAGGAGUUGAUACCAUGUGUGAGAGUAGAUCAGUCAGAAGUUCAGAUUAAACCCAAAGGUUUUUUCUUUCCUUUGCACCGUUACAGACCGAAUAUAAACUGAAGGGAGAGGAAGAGAAGUGAGGAGAGAUGGAGGUGAAGGGAGGAGGAGGACAGGGUUUGGGGUUUUAACAAAAAUCUGAAGCUUUAUUCUUUCACUUGAUUAUUUUUAUUCAUCCGUUUUCUUCUUCAUUUUCUGAAAUGAUUGUAAAUAUUGACUGGAGGUAAAUUUGUCUUAUUUAAUAUUAUUAGACACUAUUUUCCGUCUCUUUACAUGUUUUUGUUCUCAUAUCAUCUUUGUGCUCAUCAAUAAUCGAUUCCCUCCAGUUUGAACAAAUACAAUUAUUAAACCAUAAAUGAGACCUGAGAGUAAAAUUAAAAUGUGUGAAAUAUAAUCAGUCAAAAGAAAGAUUCUUGAACAAAAACAAAAUCAUUAUUUUUACUUUAUUAUGAUGGAGAAGUUUUCCUCUGACAGACAAAAAUAACCGUAUUGACUGGAGUCUGGAAAAAGUGAGAUCAGCAUCUAUUCAGGGUGAAGUCAUUAACGUGGUCGAUGCUGUUUUAUAAACUCAGUGUUGUUGAUUACAAUCUCAGCUUCAUAAACUGAUGCUACAGCUCAUGUCACAGUCUGCUCACACCACAGAAACAUUAAACAUAGAACUAUUGUGAACAGAUUUGUCCUCUUCAGCUAAUCUACUAUCAAUAGAUCUGUGCUCUGUCUGUGUAACACUAUGUUGGUUCUUCAUUUACUCCAGAUCAUUUUUUUAUGUCAUUUCACUGUAACAAUGUCAUUUAAAGAUAAUAAAAACUUUAUUUGAACUAAAACAUGUUAAAAACAUCAACUCAGCUUGUUUCAUUUACUGUGUGCAAUUGAUUAUUAUUAUUUUUCAUUCAAACAGAAACUAGAUUUGGUCUUUAAAAAGUCCUCAAAGUGAG
Molecule: long non-coding RNA, 50436 nt
Filed under: Xyrichtys novacula (pearly razorfish)
Lineage: Eukaryota; Metazoa; Chordata; Actinopteri; Labriformes; Labridae
Source: RNAcentral